UUUUCUUUUGUUUUUCUGAGGUUUUGCCUGAGUUUUCUUUUUCCGUGGCUUUGUGGUCUGGAAACUGAAGAAGAUGACCUCUUCUUUGCUUCCAGAGUGGCUUGUCAUUCCCAAAUUCUUCCCUAGACCAUGUCAUUUCCAUCCUAUACCAAAUCCCAAUAUUCUUUUUAUUGAGAAUAUUCCUUUUUCUAUUAAAGGAAUAACUCAAAUUUCCUUAGGUUGUGAAGCAACCUAUAUUUCCCUCACUCCAAAAAUUCCGAAAUAAUUCUCAUAAAUUAUUUGGAUCAUAUCUUGAGCAAAUAUGGCAAAACUUCUCAUUUGCCAUGUUUAUCAUCUUGCUCAAAUAAUCCUUUUCUAUUCUGUCCUGUGUGGCAGGUUGUGAAGGAAGUGUUAUUUUCCUUUGCCCAAUGGACCUCAACAUUUUUGGACGUCUUUUCAUGUUCAAAUAAUUGCCCUGUGCCAAAGCUCAACUUUAUUUACCUAGCCAAUCUUCCUCAGUGAUUUUUCAAAGUUCCUGUCUGAGGGAAUGCAUUGUGAAGGAAGUCCUAGCUAGGAGUAGCCAAAUGAGUUGAACUUUUACACACUCCUUUAUGUGCUCAUAUUAACCCCUUCCACCCAUUUGCAGCCCCAUCCAAUCAUCUAUGUGAGCACAGGAGCAAAUCUUUGAUUCUGGCAUUAUUUUCAGGUUGUGAAGCAAGUAUAUUUUAUAUUGCUUCAAAACUCAUGAUAAAUUAACAGAUCAUUCUUCUACCCUUAAAACUUCUCUCCACCCAAUUUGGCAUCAUUUCAUUAAGCCAUUACCUCUUUAGAAGUUUUCCAAGUUUCUUGUCAGCAGAAAUGUUUGUGAAGCAAGUAGCAUGUUGGCUUUGCCAAAUGGAAUGAUACUUGGGGUGCAUCAUCAUAUGACAAAAUGACUCAGCUUUGCCUAAUAUUAGCCCAAUUGAACACUCCAUGUCUCGCAUCUUGCUGAUCUUCAUUUCUGGACCAAAUAUGCAGUUGUGAAGCAGCUAUGAUUUAUCUUGGGCCAUUUCCCCUCAAAACCUCUAGGAUCAUAGUCCCUCCUUAGCUAAACACCCCAGACAUCUUAUUUGGCCCAUAGCAUAUCCCUGUUGACCACGUUGACCUGAUGAAGUUUACUGCAGUAAACUUCAGAGGGUGAUAACUAUUUAACCAGAGCAUGUUUAACCAAGUUACCACCACAGUUCAAACCUAUCUUGGACGAACUAUCAGCUAGACAAAGUUUUGGGUUCUGUAGAGCAUUGAAUGCCCAUGUUCACGUGGUCACCACACAGCUGGCAUGCCUGUUGGCGCGCUCUGUGCGAUGUGGCGUGUCCAGAGCACUGUUUGUGCUGGACCCCCUCCUCCUCUCGUCGUCUUAGAGCCCGUGAGAAUGUCCAUUGGCUUCCUCUCCUCGUCGUCAUUCCCCUGGACCCCUAUUACCCUCCGGAGGCUUCCUCACAGACGCAAACCGCCGAGUGCCCUCGUGCGUACAGUGAAGGUUUGGAUCCGUUCGUCGUCGUCGUCUUCCUCCCUGCGCCCCCUUGGCCUCCUCUGCCCCGUGAGAUCCCCCACUACCCCUCCUACGUCAUUUGCCCCCGAGAUCAUGCAUGCGAGCACGCGUCCGCGUUGCCGGACACGCAUCUGCGGCGGUGACAACACGACAGCUCCUCCCUGCGGCUAUAUAAGCCCUCCCCGCGCACCCCGAGCUCUCCUCUCGCCUCACCACUCUCCUAGGACCCCGCUCAUGCACUUCCCCGAGCACCAGAGCCCCUCUUCGCCUGUGUUGGCCGCCAUGGCCGCCGCCCCUGUCCACUCCGAUUCCGGUGAACUGAAGCCCCUCUCCUCUGUCUUCCACCUCUAGUAGGUCACCCAACCACCAUAGCCUCUCCCACAGCCCUCCGUUAGUCGCCGGAAUCGCCAUGGCCUCGUCCUCUAUCUUCGGCCGAAGCCCCAUCUACCGUGGCCACGGUCCCGCCCUGCCCGAGUCUCCCUGGCGUUCGUAUGGUGGUGGGACGGGUGCGCCUCGCCGUCCUGAGCACUCCGGCGGUCCAAGCUCCGUCGGGGGUGGCCCGAGUGGUCGGAGCAAGCGCCGGCGCCGGCGGCCUCUCCUCUGCUCUGCGUGCGGCGUCGGGAGAAGGAGAGAGGAAGAAGAGAAGGGAGGAGAGAGAGGGAGUGGAUAAGGUGGGGCCCACCUGUCGGCCCCUCAGCCGUUGACCAGCCCCGGCCCCGCCUUGCCACGCCACUUAAGUGGAAACGUAUUCACUCGAAUACGCUUUCAGUUUUCUGUCCAGGCCCCUGUUUAAAAAUCUUGUCAUUACAGAUGGGUCCCUAGCAGAAAACAUGCUAUAACUUUUUAUCCGUAACUCCAAAUGAGGUGAUUCCAAAGCCUACUUCUUCAUUUCGUAGAGCCUGUUCUAUUGGUUAAAUUCUCACUAUGGUUUAACUCUGUGAAAAUGACCUUUUUGCCUUUACACCUAAACAGCCCCCUCCAAGAGAGAACUAUUUCCGGCAAAUCUUUCUGCGGCUUCACCACACUUCUCCCCGGUGCCUUCUUCAUCCCCAAGCAAGCCACAGUGACAUUUUCAUAGUGCCACUUCAAUAUUUGUGAUUUUUUUACUUGAACUUAUGAAUUUUUAUGCAUUUAAAUUAGUUAUAUAAUGAUUAUAUCUGUUAAAUGCUUGUCAUGUUAAAAAUACUUGAACUAUAGAAUGUUUGAGGUAAAUAUUGUUGAUAAGCUAAAGAGAACUUAGUUGCAAGUGAUGAAUAAAUGAUAUAGUCAUAGAGUUGGAUAAUUAAUUAUAUUAUUAUUUUUGCAUGAUGAAAAGUAAUGAAAUUGCUAGAUAUGAUUCUGGUAUAAGUGAUGUGUGAUCUUAACUAGAGUAAGAACAUGAGUUGAUGAUGGAUCCAUAGGAGCGUGGUUAAUUCAGUUGUUUGCAUGGUUAUGUGGUGCACAUAUUAAGUGAUGCAUAGUAUGGCAUUAUGAGACCGGUUAUUUUCACAUUAAGUUGAACCUGAUUAAUAACUCAACUUGAAUAUGUUGUUGUCCGGGUCAUGGUGCUGCUGAAACGAGUUUUUCCCAGUGCAACCACAUUUGCCGGUAUGGGACGACUUUAAUGAAUUUCAUUGUCAUGCCUCUGGUCAGUGCCUUCAUUUAGGGAAGGUUAUGGGCGUGCUGUACCCUGGCCCGGUAGGCAAGCAUAACCUUGUGAGCCCGUUGUAAGUUAUUUUUUUGGUACCGGAUCCCAGAGUGGAUCGUGGCCACGACGGUGGUCGAGGUGUCUGGAGGUAGACACGGGGCCCCCCAGGACUAGCCCGAUGGGGUCUGAGUCGGAAUGGCUGAGAGAGUGUCAUGACAAUGAAAUGGUUUUGUCGGAACACUGAUGGUCCGCCCGACUGGGAGUGCGAGGCCAUGGGUUCCGUAGUGUGGGUACAGUGUACUAACCUCUGCAGAGUGUUUUUAAUCUAUCGAUAGCGAGUCCAUGGUUACGGACACGCUCGAAAGUAGGAUACACCAUGGGUCAACACUUAAUAAAAUAUGCACACUAAAUUUGUACUGAGGAUGGCAGUGAGGCCAUCGUGUUGAGUUUGGCCAUGAGUUGGUCGGGUUUGUGAUCGCCGUAAGGAUCACGGGCCAAGAGUUGGUCGGGUUCUAAUCGCCGUAAGGAUCAUUGGCCAUGAAUUGGUCGGGUGCUGAUCGCCGAAAGGAUCACACGUGUGUUUUCGAAGUUAUCAUGUUUGUGGUAUGGAAAUGAUCACGUUCGGUAAGAAGUACCAGUUGAGCAUAGUCACAACAUAUUAGACGUAUGGUUGCAUUGUUGCUUAAAUGGUUAAAUAUCCUGAUAUUGUUUGCCAUUAUGUUUAUGCUUAUUGUGAGCUUGCAAGUAUAUUCAAUGUACUGACCUGGCGUGUCAUGCCACUUUGCAGGUCAUGCCGGAUUUGAUUACUUGCUUGUCGUGGUUUCCGUUCGUGCGAGCUAGGAUAAGCGUUCCAGCCAGAGUCCCUGCGGAGUGGAGUUCACCACCGUCGCCGUUGUUCCGCUACUAGAGUUAUUCCGCUGCUUUGAGUUCUUCUGCUGCUUUCAUAGAUCAACUGAGGAUGGCGUAGUGCCGACGUACCGAUGUUAUUAAUUGUAAUAUCGGAGACCUUGUAUUCAUAUUCGUGUAAUAAUAAUAGAAAGCUGGUUUGUUCUAUGCUAAGCAGUGCUGUAUUCCAGAAGACUUCUCCUUGAUCAUUGGGCUGGAAUACGGGGCGUUCCGAUUUCCUCUGAGCAGGGGUGCUACAGGCUUGGUAUUAAAGCAGGUGUGGUUGUAGGACGCCCUAGACCGCGCAAACGUUAAAAAGCAUUACUAUAGACCCCAUUUGGUUUGUUGCACUUGAUUGCUGCAUUUGUUUGUUGCAUAGCAUGCAUUUAGGCUUAGUAUUUGUGAUAACGGUUUAUCUGGUGAGUGUAGCUAGCAUCGAUUCAGAUCCACUACAGCUGAAGCUUUGCAUUUCUCUAGUUCCUUUUUCUUUCGGUGUUUGGUGUCGUUUCUGUCCCAGCAGAGUGAUGCCAAGUGAUCCCGACACUGUUUGCAAAAAUGGUGCUCAGGUAUCGCAUCGAUGUCUUUCUUUUAGUCCUAUCUAUCGUUUCGGUGAUGGACAUGUUUCUAUCCCGGAUCGUUCUUUUUGUCGUGUUGGCAACCCUUAAUGAUCUUAGUUAUCAAGAAAGGGCAAUGUCAGCAGCCUCAGUUUUUCCCCGCUAUCCUAUUUCUUGGACGAGUACAGAUCUUUUUCUGUCCGCUUGAUAAUAAAGUAGUUGCGACCUUCGUGUCCAACUACAUGAUUACCGAGUACGUCCUCGCCUCUAAGCUAGUUCAAGUUGCUACCUGGCUAAGCUAGUACAUGGUGUAGCACUGUUUACACCAAUUCUUCCACACAUUUAUUCGUCCUCGUGCACAUCGCCACAGCAUAUUAGACAACAAUACCGGAGUUUCUGCGAAAUUUGUGUGCUUAGGUGUGCAUGCAUAUUAUUGUGUGAGUAGCAGUAAUAUGUGAUGCUUGCUUGAUUAAUUAUAUUAGUAGAAUGCUUGUGUGCUAUUGUUUUAGUCGUUUCUUUUGUUCCUUUCUUUGGGCCUUCAGUGUUACAAAAUUUUCCCCUAUUAAAGUUGCUCGUCAGCCGACAGUGGACCCGAAGAGUCAGCAAGAAAUGCAUAUAUUUGGAAACUCAGCUAAAUAGAAUGGAAUUAUCAGCUGACUGAAGUGAAAUUGAGAAUAUCUUGUCUGGAUGCAAAAGAAAUCCUGGAUGGACCUUGAGUAUCAAGUUUGCAUUAGCAUGCACUCAUCACAACAAAAUGAUUAAAUCAGCAAGAAGAUAAAUUGUGUGCAAGGUUGAAGAAUAUUAUCAAAGGUAUGGCUCAGAGACAAGUUUAAUUUUUAUUGAGGAUGAUUUUGGAACCCGAUGUACUUGGAAGCAAGCAAAAAUAUGGCAUAUACUCAGAAAGGAGGAUAGUCCAGUAAAACAAUGUUUCAUACAAGAAAUCAACAUCAGAAAUAUUGAGAUGGUAUGUAUAUGUGGAAAUCGGUCCGCAUAUCACAGUAAGAAGUUUAUGGUGUAAGCAACCCACUUUUCCCUCGCAAGAUACCCGAGAGGCUUCCAAGGCAAGAUUCAUCUAUCCUCCUCAGUACGAUACAUGCACGACAUCUCGCGCAAGGUACUCUGCCGUCUACAGUAAGCAACGGUGAAGACUUUUGGCAUAAGGUACCGAGUCUUUCCCCAGCAAUGUCUUUAAGGGGGUAAGCUUCUGAAGCACGAUAUCCAGUCUUCUUCAGCAAGCUGUCUGUUGAAAGUUUCGAGCACAAGCCAGCAAAUAUUCCUUAGUAAGACAUUGGUACAAGGUAGUACGCUGUGAAUUGACAACAUGUGGCAGUGAAUCCCAAGAAUCAGAUCCGCAACAUUUUGGUCAGACUCAAGAAUCAGUCAGAAUACAUGUCUGUCUCGGAAUCAGGUCCUCAUAUAUAUGCAAUAAGCAUAGCAUCAAGAUAUUACAAGUCACUUGGAUGAGGAUCUGAUAACCACGUGAGGAUGGUUACGAGAAUAAAGCCAGUAUACACCGCAGUGUGACAAAGAAUUAUGAGGAUUGACGACAUCAAGGAGCUCAAUACAAGUUGUGAUCGGCCGGCCUCCUCUAGCGGCGGCAUGGUGAACGGCGCUGCGCGGGAGGGCCUCCGAAGGUGGCCGUGGCGACGCGUUCGGAGUCGGCUCAAGCGACCCGAGAGGCGAGGGAGGGCCUCCGAAGGUGUUUUCUCGCUGUGUUCGAGUACGGGGAUAAAGAUGACCUGAUUAGAUUCUAAUCGGUUUAGAUUUUAGAGUUCUAUUCAUAUGUGUCAAGUACUUCCUUGUAUACGUCAAAGUCCAGCAUGCCUUAUAUAAAGCCAUGGCCGAUUGAAAAAAAAAUCAAUCUAUUCAAUAUAAACACAUUACUUUUUAUCAUUUGUUUUUUCUGUAGUUUCUUGCCCUAGCAGCCCAAGGGUUUGGUGAUCUUUCUCGUUUUGCACUGACAAACGGUCAGUUUCCGUCCACGAAAGCGAGGGAUUCUUUAUUGCUUUGCCCGACAAGCAAUUGUUCGUCGUCACGAAAGGAUGACAAAUAUCCUGGUGUUGUGCGGCGAUUUCACGUGCCAACACACUUGGCGACUCCACUGGGGACGAAGAAGAAAUACACACGAUGGACACCGAACCCAACAACGGAAGCGACUUCAACCAGGACAACAUCAUCUCCAUCACGCUCGACGAUCUGUCAGAGGAUGAUCGGCGUGAGCUUGAACAAGAGGUUGAGAAGGAGAUGGCUAAGCGGCUAGAAUUGAAGUUGACUAGAUACUACAAGACAAGGAUCGGCCUCGUCAAGAAGGUACAUGUCACUACUAGGAAAAAGGCUAUAGAUGAAAUGACCACUAAUGGCGCACCAGACAUGUGGUGCGCCACUACUAUAUAGCAGUGGUGCACAAUGUGCUGGUGCACCAUUAGUGUGAAAGACACUAAUGAUGCACCAGACACACGGUGCGCCACUAGUAACAAUUUUUUUUUCCAAACAUACUAAUGGCGCACCAGGGCACAGUGCGCCAUUACUACUUCUAACUAGUAAUGGCGCACCAGCCGCAUAGUGCGUCACUACUAUAUUUUUUUAUUCUUUUUUUGCAAAACUACAAAUGGCGCACCGGGGAAUAGUGCACCAUUACUAGUUUAAACUAGUAAUGGCGCACCGUGUCCCGGUGCACCAUUAGUGUGUAUAUAUAUAUAUAUAUAUAGGGAUUGACUAUUCGUCACCCUGGGUGAGGAAUAGUUAUUCUUCACCCCCUCUAUUUUACCAUCAAUACACCGUAAUUUUACGUUCCGUAAGUUUUGUCUUAUUUCUGAUGUAAAAAGAUACCGUAAAAAAAAUAUGAUCGUCGUAAAAAAUAUUUUAUGUUAUGUAAAAUUACAAAUGUAAAAACAUAGUACAAAAUACACAUAAACUACAUUUUUUCUUGUCUUAUGACCUAUUUUUUUAUUUUCUUAUGCCAAUUUUACGUAGUGGAUCAAUAAAAAUGUAACUAUUUGAAUUCCAAACGUAAUUUAAUUAUGAAAUGAUCAUAAAAUUACCUCGGGUGAAGAAUAACUUAUUCUGCACCCUGUACCAUCAUAGGCCUGACUCCUCGUUUGCCCGUACACAAAUCAAUUUUCACAUCGCGGCCGUCAAACCGCUCCCUCGUCACGAGGAGGAAAAGGCGCUCCCCGUCCUCGGGGGCCACCAGCAGGCGUUGCCGCUCCGUCUGAUGCAUCGUGACGAUGGGGGUCACGGGGCACUUGUGGUCCGCCUUGACGUGGCCGCAGAUCAUCGGUGGAUUGUGCAAUUCCCUUUGAACAAAACAGACAUCGAAGCGCAACUAUUUCACAAACUAAAUUGUUGGCGAAACAAAUUCACCCAACUAACCAUUUUGUGUAGCGUCCGACAGGUCAACGCUGCACUACACUGAGUUGCGCGCGAGCGUGGCGAAAUGAACAAAACAGACAUCGAGGCACAACUAUUUCACAAACUAAACUGUUGGCGAAACAAAUUCACCCAACUAACCCUUUUGUGUAGCGCCCGACAGGUCAACGCUGCACUACACUGAGUUGCGCGCGUGCAUGGCGAAAUGAACAAAACUGACCUUGAGGCGCAACUAUUUCAGAAACCAAGCCGUAGGCGAAAUAAAUCCACCCAACUAACCCUUUUGUGCAGCGCCCGAUAGGUCAGCGNNNNNNNNNNNNNNNNNNNNNNNNNNNNNNNNNNNNNNNNNNNNNNNNNNNNNNNNNNNNNNNNNNNNNNNNNNNNNNNNNNNNNNNNNNNNNNNNNNNNNNNNNNNNNNNNNNNNNNNNNNNNNNNNNNNNNNNNNNNNNNNNNNNNNNNNNNNNNNNNNNNNNNNNNNNNNNNNNNNNNNNNNNNNNNNNNNNNNNNNNNNNNNNNNNNNNNNNNNNNNNNNNNNNNNNNNNNNNNNNNNNNNNNNNNNNNNNNNNNNNNNNNNNNNNNNNNNNNNNNNNNNNNNNNNNNNNNNNNNNNNNNNNACACUGAGUUGCGUGCGAGCAUGGCGAAAUGAACAAAACUGACCUUGAGGCGCAACUAUUUCACAAACUAAACCGUAGGUGAAAUAAAUUCUCCCAACUAACCCUUUUGUGCAGCGCCCGACAUGUCAGUGCUGCACUACACUGAGUAGUGUGCGGGCGCGGCGAAAUGAACAAAACUAACCUCAAGGCGCAACUAUUUCACAAACUAAACCGUAGGCGAAACAAAUUCACCCAACUAACCGCUUUGUGCAGCGCCCGACAGUUUAGCGCUGCACUACACUGAGUAGCGUGCGGGCGCGGCGAAAUGAACAAAACUGACCUCAACGUGCAACUAUUUCACAAACUAAGCUGUAGAGGAAACAAAUUCACUCAGCCAACCCUUCUGUGUAGCGCCCAACAGGUCGGCACUGCACUACGCUGAGUGACGCGCGGGCCCUACACUCCUAGCCAGCGUGGCGGCCCCGGCCCUAUUCUUGGUUGUGCGGUGCCUAGGUGAAAGGAGCCACACUACAUUGUGCAGCGCCUAGCUGAAAGGAGCUGCACCACCUUAUAUUAAAAUCGUUGUAACUUUUAAUCCGUGCAUCCGAUGAAAACGUCCCUUAUAUGAAUGUUGUGCAUUUUUCUAUGUUCUACGCAAUGGGGUAUUUUCAUCUAUGUUGGGAUCAAUUUUCUUGAUGAAAACUCUGUCGCAAAAGUGCAUCAUAAUAUAACUAACAGAAGGUGAACUCGCUCCUCUCUAAACCACCAGAAGCAACUAAUGGCUAGUGUUUAGUUCAUCCGAUCUCGUGGAUGCUUCAUGAAAAACAAUAGUACCGUGCUUUCUAAUUGCUGAAAUAGUACUGUGCUUUCUGCAAGUAAAUUGGGACGGAGGGACUAUGAAACAAGGGUGUGUAGUACAUAUGAUCUCUGCUUUCUAAUUGUAUUUUGAGUACAUACAAAAUGUAUUUCCAAAAGCAAGGGUUUGUUCUCUGCUUUCUUCAGGUGGGAUACCUCUGUUGAAGACAUGACCAGAGUAGGUACGCGGAGCGGAACACAGAACACCCAAUCUUCAGUAUAGUAUACACCCUAAGUUUAAAGCCAAAACGCAAAGCGGUGGGAGGGCAAAGCUUGGCUUUAAAAAAAUCGGUGGGAAGGGGAAAGCUUUGGCUCUGAUAGGGAAGAUUGGUAUUGUUAUACUACUUCAAAUCGCCGUGUUCGACCCCCUGUUCAAGAAUUCAUCCGAUUAACCAGUUAAUUUGCCGAUUAAUCCCUACUCGUAGGGUCACCGAGUAGCCUAUAAACCGAUAAAUCGUCUGAUUAAUUGAUUAAAUGGCCAAUUAACUUGCCGAUUAGCCGAUUAAUCCCCUACUCACCAGCCAACCGAGCAGCUACCAGUUAACAAUUUCCUCAACAAUGGUUCGACUGAAUCGAAAGGAUUGAUUGUAUAAGUACUAACUCCAGUCAUGGUAAAUAAAUACCAUAAUUAUGCCUAGUGAGUUCAUAUAGAAUUCUUAAAAUACUAAAGGCGGAUUGUUGUACUUCAAAUUGUACUAUACUACUUUAAAACAAGGAUCUGGCUGAAGAUGAAUGUAAAACACUAUUGCGGAUCUGGCUGAAAGAUGAAUUAAAAACAUUGUUGCGGAUCUAGCUGAAGAUGAAUGAAAAAUCUAAAACACUUGUUGCUUAUCAUAAACACUUGUCUCGUCUCUCUCAAAUAUAUAAACACAGAAACAAAGUUAGGAAGGUUAUGAUUCUACCUCUUCAGAACCACAUCGAAAAGGCCAUGAAUCAAGAAACAGAAGCCAAAAAGGGGGACGAGAAUCAAAGAGUGGCACAGUCAUCACCUUCGGGGUCGCGCCUGCAGCCGGGGCAGACCAGGAGGGGCCGGUGAAGGGGACAAACCAGCCGGGGUGCUGGGGAGGGCCCGGUGGAUGGAGCAGCCGGGGUGCAGGGGAGGGGGCGGCGAAAGGAGAUGCGAAAAGACGAGCCGUGCCGCAGAGGAGUGGAGGAAGGCGAGGAGAAGGCUGACCAUCUGUGUUAUUAAUAUAUGGGCAGUACUUUGCGCCGGCGCGCCGGCCCAAAUUUGGGCCGGUCAGCCUGCAGCCGUCCGAUAUGUCUGCUAACAACUGUUUGAUUAGAGCCUAAUCUUCAUCCUCGUUCACCUCUCGCCCGCAGAGAAACAACAGAAAAAGUCGACCAACACCGCGAUCGCCCUGGCACAUCUCGCAUGAGGAAAAAAAGGUCCACCUUGCUCACCGCCGGCGACGUCCCCGUCGACGGCCCCAUGGGUUGUUGAGCUCCUACGAAGAUGUCACCCUGGGCCGCCGUGGCCGGUGGCAGCAAACAUUGUGCCCGGUUGUAGCAAAUGAGGAUGCCGGUUCCAGCAAAAAUCUCACCAAAAAGCCAGAAAAUCGUGGCUGCAGGAGAGAUGUCAUGGCUGUCAGUGAGAUGUCGUGGAUGGGUGCAGCAGAACGCCGUGCACGAAGUAGCACCGCUGAUUGUUGCUUCCAACAACCACCAGCUCCCCACCGUCGCCAUUGUAGCUUCUAUGGCACCCCCGCCAUCGCCAUUGUAGCUUCUAUGGCACCCCCGCCAUCGCCAUUGCAGCUCUUUAGUGUCGAUGCGUUGCCAUUGCUGCUCUCCAGCACAUCGUACUCGCCGUGGUCACCGUUGGCAACAUCCAGUGUGCAUGGUUCCAGCUAGCCGCGAUGGCCAUUGUAACAAAAAUCCAGCGAGCCGUGGUCACCAUGGUGGCCGUUGCAGCAUCCCGCAUGCACGGUUCUAGCUGGCUGUGGUGACUGUUGUAACAAAAUUCCAGCAAGCCGUGGUCACCGCGGUGACUGUUGCAUCAUCCCAUGUGCACGAUUCGAGCUAGCCGCGAUCAUCAUUGUAGUGCAAAAAUUGGCUGGUUCCAACACAACUCUCGCAGCGUCGUCGACCGUCGCGUGCAUGUCGCAUCUCUUGUUGACAUCGGUUGUAGCACCAUGGUUCGCUGGACUAGCAAAAAUGGUUGUUGGUUCCAGUAUUUUAGCUGCAUCGUCACACGUCGCCCCCUCCUUGUAGCUUUUUUGCCACUGGUUGCGGCAUGCUCGCCGCCAGUUCCAGCUCCUUAGUUGCCGGUUGCAGCACACCCCUGCUGCAGUCGCACCCCUCCUCCCAUAUACUGGUCGCCAUCUAGCACGGCCCCCGUCGGAGCACACAGCGACUGCGACAGAGGAAGACGACAUGCUACGUGGUGGCGCACGGCAGGCGGCAGGCCGUUCCCGUGUCCACUGUGUGCCAUUGACGUAACUCAUCGCCCCAAAGGCCAUCCUGCAGUCCAGGCGUCGAGGACCUUGCCUGCCAGCAACGGUGGCCUUUGUGGCACACAGGGAAACACGGGGGUGGUGCGGCGCCAUGGCCUGUGAGCUGCUGCGUGUUGGUGGAUUGAUGGCGGAGAGGGAGGGCUACUAGCGAGAGGAGGAAGGGAAAUGAGUGGACCAGGCAGUCGAGAGGGAGGAUAAGGCUGAAUAAAAGCGGUGUCGGGGGUGCGUGACAGCAGAUGGCAUGCGUCCUGCACUCCUCAAUCUCUGGCCCGCGUCCGACCGGCUGAGUUUUCAGCCGGUGCGCCGGCCACAAACGUUUUCCUUAAUAUAUGCUGCUGAGCCCAAGAUCCUCCCCAACGGAAGCUUAGUUUUGUUUUUCCUUUUUCCUUUUUCCUCCAAUAAAUAUAUAUCGCAACGGAUACAUUACCUUGGGGUGGUGGUGCGCAACCCGGAAAAAAAUCUGGACCCACUGGUCCAUCUCAAGCCCUCUCGUCAAUUUUUGAUUUACUUCACGAUUUUGACUGGGUCUCUGUUUUGAAGAAUGGUCAUCCUCUCAAUAAAUUCUAUGACAUAGACAUUACGAGCAUAGUUUUCAUAGCAAUAUUUAAGUAUGUCAAAAUUUUCAGAUUUGUAGAGAGUAAUAUUAUAUUUUUCAAUCAAAGAAGCAACUUCAUAAGCACCCUUAAAAGCAACAAAUGUUUCAAUUUGUUCGAUAUCAUAGUAACUAUAAACACCCUUUUCAUAAGAAGAUAAGAUUUCAUUAUCAUUAAACUCACAUAGGUAGGGAAGGUGUUUUCUAGGGUUCUUGGAGCAACAAGUAAAAUCACAAAUUUCACAAAGAUUCCAAGAAUAGCAUAGCAAACAAUUUAUUUGAUUCCAUAGGAGCUUCCCUUUUCAGACAAACGAUGACGCACAAAAUGAGCAUGCUGAUCUAAAGAUUUUCCCUCAACUAAACUAGUUGGCGUUUCAACACGAGCACAUAUGGAUCGAAGAUGAUCCAGGUAGAAAACUUUGAGUGGAUCCAUAUUAAUAGAUUUUUAGCAAGAAAAGAUGCAAUCAAAAUAGAAGGCAGAUGGAAACACAAGCAAACAUAAGAUUGAAUGAAAGAAGGGUGAAUAAAAAGGCAAAUCUUUUCGAAAAUCAUUUUAGAUGUGGGCGAGAGGAAAACGAGAGGCAAAUGGCGAAUAAUGUAAUGCAAGAGAUGAGAGUUUAUGAUGGGUACUUGGUAUGUCUUGACUUCCCCGGCAAUGACGCCAGAAAUUCUUCCUGCUACUUCUUGAGCUUGCGUUGGUUUUUCCCUUGAAGAGGAAAGGGUGAUGUAGCAAAGUAGAGAUAAGUAUUUCCCUCAGUUAAGAACCAAGGUAUCAAUCCAAUAGGAGAAGUACGCACAAAUCACCAAUACUUGCACAAACAAUCAAACACUUGCACCAACGUGAUAAAGGGGUUGUCAAUCCCUUCACGGUCACUUGCAAAGGUGAGAUCUGAAGCUAAAAUAUUUUUGGGUUUUUUAUUUAUGGAUCUGAAAGUAAAAGAUUGCAAAAUAGUAGAUCGGAAACUAAUAUGAUGGAAAAUAGACCCGGGUGCCAUAGGUUUCACUAGAGGAUUCUCUCUUGAAGGCAAAUAAUACGGUGGGUGAACAAAUUACUAUCGAGCAAUUGAUAGAAAAGUGCAAAGUUAUGACGAUAUCCAAGGUAAUGAUUAUGUAAUAUAGGCAUCACGUCUGUGUCUACUAGAGCGACUCCUGCCUGCAUCCACUACUAUUACUCCAUACAUAGACCAACUCAUGCCUGCAUCUAGAGUAUUAAGUUCAUGAAGAACAGAGUAACACUUUAAGUAAGAUGACAUGAUGUUGAGGAAUAAACUCAAGAAAUAUGAUGUAAAGCCCAUCUUUUUAUCCUCGAUGGCGACAAUACAAUACGUGCCUCACUACCCCUACUUUGUCACUGUGUCAGGACACAGCAAGAUUGAACCCAAAUCUAAGCACCUCUCCCAUUGCAAAAAAAUACCAAUCUAGUUGGCCAAACUAAAUCGAUAGUUAGAAAAGAAAUAAAAAGAUAUCAAAUCAUGCAUGUAAGAAUUCAGAGAAGAUUCAAAUAACAUUCAUAGAUAAGCCGAUCAUAAAUCCACAAUUCAUCGGAUCUCAACAAACACACCGCAAAAUAAGAUUACAUCGGAUAGAUCUCCAAGAACAUCGAAGAGAACAUGGUAUUGAGGCUCAAAGAGAAAGAAGAAGCCAUCUAACAACUAGCUAUGGACCCGUAGGUCUAAGGUAAACUACUCACACUUCACCGGAAGGGCAAUAGAGUUGAUGUAGAAGCCCUCCAUUGAAAAGUGUUUUCGUGGAUGCUUCUGGUGGUUUGGGAAGUUAUAUUAUGAUGCCACCAGCAGGUGCGCCAUUAGUAACCUGGGACCAGCUAGAUAUUUUGGACAGCCACACCUACCCACUCACUUUCCCCACUUCAUUCUCUCCACCUCCUCCUCCAAGCUUGUCUCGGCUACCUCCUCCUCCUCACCUCAUUUGCACCAUAGAUUCAUCCAAAUUAAGUGGUUAAAUUACCUUUUUUUGAUAGGUGAGGGGGAAGCUAUCUUUAUGUUGUUCUCCCUCCAACAAUGUGCACAUGCACUUUUUAUGGCCUAGCUAGAUCUAUGUAUGUUCGUGGUGUUGCAUAUGUUUGUGGUGUUGCAUAUAUGUUUGUGGUUGCAGGUACCGGUAUUUGAAAUGUGAUAGUUGCCAAUAUUUUGCCGGAAUGUUGAUUCAUUUCCGUUUCGGCGAGAAUUUUGGCACUAUGCAUUCUUUUUGUCCUAUUUUAGGGAAAGUCAUGCCAAAUUUUUUCUUGGUUCUAAAAUAUCGUUUUGCUCUACCCCGCAGGCGACCAUGGUCCGCACGAUGACCGAAGGCAUCGUGAAUAGGUUUUUGAGCUCCGCGAAGGCCGAGAUGCUUCAAAAGAAUGAGACAAAGAUAAGAUGUCCGUGUCGAAGAUGCAAGCUAAAGAGCCUUAUUGCGGACCCGGAUUCUGGGUAGGUGCGGGACCACCUGCUCUUGCAUGGUUUCAUGGAUGGCUAUUGGUGGCAAGGUGAUGAAGAUGACUAUGAAGUCGUCCAUGGGGGCCGGGCAAGAAAUGAGGAAGGGCAGCAAGACAACCACCGUGGCUCGGGCGGGCGAGAAGACAAAGAAUCUCCAGGACAUGAUCACGAUGGUGAUGCUGUACACAAUCAUCAUGUAGAAGAUGCAGGACAUGAUGAUGAGGAAGGUGCCGGAGUAGACGAAGGGCAUGAUCAUGAAGAUGAAGAUGCCGGCGGAGCAGACGACAAUGGACCAUCGAUGGGCUGGGUGCAGGACCCUCAUAUUCAAGAGCUGCUUCUCAAGCAGACGGAUAACACAAGAGCUGCCGCCCGAGAGAAAGCCAAGCUGGAUCAACUGGAGAUAGACGCGGUUACUCCAUUGUAUGAAGGAUGCAGGCCCGAGGAUACCCGCCUGAAAGUAACGCUCAUGGCUCUGGAGAUGAAGGUAAAACACAAAAUGACCGACGCAUGCUUCAACGAGAACAUGACAUUCUGGCGCGAACAUCUUCCCAAGGGGAACAAGUGCCCGACCAGUUUCGAGGAGGCGAUGAAAAUCGUGUGUCCUCUGGAUUUACCGCACGUGAAAUACCAUGUGAGCAUGAACAAUUGCAUCAUUUAUCGGGACGAGCACACGGAGUCUACCAUAUGUCUGGUGUGCAGCGUCACUCGAUACAAGAAGAGGAAGAAAGCUCCUCAAAAAGUGGUGUGGUACUUUCUGAUCACUCCUCGUCUGCAGCGGUAUUUCGCGGGCCCUAAGGUAGCAAAGCUCCUGCGUUGGCACGCGGAUAGGGAGGAGAAGAAGCCAGAAGAUGACGCAAAUGAUUCGGAGAUAAAUAAAAAAGACAAGAUGCUGAGUCACCCUAGGGAUGGGAGCCAGUGGCAAGCGUUGAACUUCGAACACCCAGAAUUUGGGAAUGAUCCAAGGAACAUCGUGUUGGGUGCGAGCCCCGAUGGAGUCAAUCUGUUUGGCAGCCAGAGAAGCACACAUAGCACCUGACAUGUGUUUGUGUGGAUGUACAACCUUCCCCCUGGUUGUGCAUGAAGAGGAAGUACAUUCGCAUGAGUAUGCUAAUUGAAGGGCCGAAACAACCAGGGAACGACAUCAAUCUGUAUCUGGGGCUGCUGAAAGAGGAGCUAGACACGCUGUGGAAAAUGCCAGCCAAUACGUGGGACGCCGCACAAAAAGAAUAUUUCCCUAUGAGAGCCGCACUGCUCACGAUGGUGCAUGACUAUCUCGGUUACGGAUAUGUCGCGGGGCAGGUGGUCCACGAAUUUUCUGGAUGUGUUAGGCGCAUGGAUUACACAACGUAUCGCCAGCUAGAUAGAUCGGGUCUUUGAAAACCGUGUUCAUGGGACAUCGAAGGUGGCUUCGCGACGAUGACCCGUGGAGGAAACGCAAGGAUCUGUUCGAUGGUGAAACCAAACCCCGAAGACGCCCGCAUACGAGGCGCAGCGAGGAAAUAGAUGAGCUGUUGAAAAAUUGGAAAGAUUGCCCACUACCGGGAAAGAAGCAAAAGGCGCCAGAGCCGGGAAAGAAGCAAAAGGUGCCAGAGCCGCUGCUGAAGGUAUGGAAAACGAGGUCUAUUUUCUGGGACUUGUCGUACUGGAAGAUCCACCGUGUGCCUCAUAGCCUUGAUGUCAUGCAUAUCACGAAGAAUGUGUGCGAGAGUCUGCUUGGUACCCUGCUCAACAUGCCAGAGAGGACCAAAGAUGGGCCGAAAGCAAGGGCAGACUUGAAAUCAAUGGGCAUCAGGGAGGAGCUUCACGCUAAUGAUGAUGAUGAUGAGCCGAAGCAGGACACGGAAAGUCGUCGCAAAGGCAAAAAGGCCAAGAAGACCGGAAAUGACUACCCUCCCGCGUGCUUCACUCUAAGUCAGGAGGAGAUCGAUCAGUUUUUCAGCUGCCUCGUAGGAGUAAAACUUCCUUACGGUUACGCGGGGAAGAUAAGCAGAUACCUAGACCCAGCGAAGCAGAAGUUCAGCGGGAUGAAGUCUCACGACUGUCACGUGCUGAUGACGCAGAUACUUCCAGUUGCAAUCCGUUGGAUCAUGGACGCGCACGUCUGUGAAACGCUAUUUGGCUUAUGCAACUUUUUCGACGUCAUCUCUCGAAAGUCGGUUGGCGUGAGGCAACUUAGAAGGCUACAGGAAGAGAUCGUGGUGAUACUAUGCGAGCUUGAGAUGUACUUCCCGCCCGCAUUCUUCGACGUUAUGGUGCAUCUGCUGGUCCAUAUCGUGGAGGAUAUCAUCCAACUCGGGCCGACGUUCCUGCACAGCAUGAUGCCGUUCCAAAGGAUGAAUGGUGUCAUCAAAGGAUACGUUUGCAACAUGUCACGUCCAGAGGGAAGCAUAGCCAGGGGCUUUCUGACCGAAGAGUGUAUCUACUACUGCACGAAUUAUCUAGGCAUCGAGAACCCCGUUGGUCUGCCCGUCAACAGGCACCUCAGUAGGCUCGCUGUAUGGGGUCACCGUGAGGGUCGCCGCGAAAUGCAUGUCGACUUCAAGGGUCGACUCGCUGACUUUGAAAGAGCAAACCUAGUCGCGCUACAACACAUAGACGUGGUCGAUCCUUGGGUGGUAGAGCACAAAACCUUUAUUGAGAAGACAUACAAUGACCGAGGCCAAUAGAGGACGGACGAAGAUAUAAUCAAAGAGCACAACUCAUGUUUCACGCAUUGGUUCAAGCAAAAGCUUCUGUCAUACCCUUUACAUGAGGAUUCUUCCGCGGAAGAACAACUCAUAUUCGCCUUGUCACAGGGCGCCGAGCACAACCUGAUGACGUAUGAGGUGUACGAUAUCAACGGCUACACAUUCUACACCGAGGGAAAGGACAUGAAAAGCGAUGGUUAUCAGAAUUCCGGGGUAACGAUGGAAUCCUACACCGGUAAUGACAAGGACAGAUACUACGGAAGGAUCGAGGAGAUCUGGGAGCUGAGCUACGCUUGAGAGAAGGUCCCGAUGUUCCGUGUCAGAUGGGCCAAGAGCGUCAUAAAAGAAGACCGGUAUUUCACCAUCAUGGUUAUACCCGAAGCCAAAUCCAAGACUGCGGGCGCAAACGUCACCGCGGAAAAUGAGCCAUGGGUACUGGCUUCCCAAGUGGACCAAUGCUUCUUCAUUACCGACCCGCCAAAGCCCAGUCGUGUUGUCGUGAGGAGAGGCAAAAUGAAGAUCAUCGGAAUGGAUGGAGUCGCCAAUGAGCAAGACUUCGACAAGUACGACGACCCGAAGAUGGAACAUGACGACGACGAUGAAGUAUCAGCAUACACCACAAGAAGAAGCAGGACCACCCUACCUAAAGGACGUCCUUUCAAGAGAAGAACUCCAUUUACAAAAAAUAAGGGCAAGAAGAUUGUGAACAGAUAACUAGCUAAGAUCGAUUGUAUUUAAAUUGUAGCCUUCAUUUCUCGAUUAUUGUAUUUCAUGGGCACUUUUUGAACUCAUGAAUAUUUUUAAAUUUCAUGGGCACUUUUUGAAUUCAUGAAUAUUUUUCAAAUUUGAUGAUAUUUUUUCAUAUUCAAUAUGAAAAAAUAUUGAAUAUUCAUGAGGACACUCGAUCUCGAUCCCCCUCCAUCUUGAUCUAUAUCCCCCUCCAUCUCGAUCGCUAUCCCCCUCCAUCUCGAUCUCGAUGCCCCCCGCACCCUCCCCCGCUCCACCGCCGCCGCCGACCCCCCGCACCCUCCCCGGCCCGCUCCACCGUCGCCGAGCACCGGCCGCACCCUCCCCUGCUCNNNNNNNNNNNNNNNNNNNNNNNNNNNNNNNNNNNNNNNNNNNNNNNNNNNNNNNNNNNNNNNNNNNNNNNNNNNNNNNNNNNNNNNNNNNNNNNNNNNNNNNNNNNNNNNNNNNNNNNNNNNNNNNNNNNNNNNNNNNNNNNNNNNNNNNNNNNNNNNNNNNNNNNNNNNNNNNNNNNNNNNNNNNNNNNNNNNNNNNNNNNNNNNNNNNNNNNNNNNNNNNNNNNNNNNNNNNNNNNNNNNNNNNNNNNNNNNNNNNNNNNNNNNNNNNNNNNNNNNNNNNNNNNNNNNNNNNNNNNNNNNNNNNNNNNNNNNNNNNNNNNNNNNNNNNNNNNNNNNNNNNNNNNNNNNNNNNNNNNNNNNNNNNNNNNNNNNNNNNNNNNNNNNNNNNNNNNNNNNNNNNNNNNNNNNNNNNNNNNNNNNNNNNNNNNNNNNNNNNNNNNNNNNNNNNNCUGCCUUGCGCCGCCUCCCCGCAUCGGCCCCUGCCCUACGCCGCCGCCGACCCCGUCCCCAACCCCGACCCCGACGGCGACCGGCCGCGCCUGCCCAGGUACCUCUCCUCCUUCCUCCUUCCUCCCUCUCCACCCUUCCUCCCCAUUCCCUCCCUCCCUCCCCUUCCGCCGCGCCCUCCACCUCCCCUCCGCCCUCCUCCCCGCCGUCAGCCCCGCCCCGCCCUCGAUUCUAGUAGGCUUGCUCGGGUGCUGGUGUUCUUGCCAGGAUUAGUAAAUGGGACCUUGUAGGAUGUUAACCGUCGGUGUGUCUGUCAAAACUAAAAACCCAACGGUUAUGACUGAAUUUCCAAACUAGCUUGUAGUAGUAGAAUGCUAGUGGAGUCGCUCUUACUAUGCGUCUCAAAACUGAAUAUGGUUUUCCAUGAGGUUAUCGAGGAGCUGCCGGCCUGUUUUCAUUCUGGUGGGGAGAACCGGGGAACUGGAAUGCUUGUUUGGCUGACCUCUUACAAUGCAGUAGAUGAUCUUUUUUUCGGCCUGCAUUGCGCUCCGCUGCUAUGAACUUUUGAUAGGCCGCGCGACGGAAGCCACUUCAAGCUAUUGUGUGUUUCUCUGAAUGUUGUGUUUCUUCAGUUCUUUAUCCAUUCUUUGUUCCUGCUGAAUGUCAUGCUAAUUUAGUUUGUUUUGUUUUGCACAUCGGUAGGCAAAGCCUAGUGUUUGUUUCAGACAUUUACUGAAACUGAACCAAGGAAAUUUGGAUUUCAUUGUUACAGUUGCAGGAAAAGGUCAUAUUAUGAGUGAAAUAUAUUUAAAAUGUCUAUUUAGUUCUGUUUUCAGAUAUAACCUUGUAAGUAGAAACAUGUAUAACUCAAGUAAACCAUACAUCUAGUUAAUAUUGCACAGGCAGCAAUGUUAAGUCUUACUAUGAACCUAGCAAUAAAAAUGAUGAAGCUCCUGUCAAUUUUUGACAUAUCUUAAGUUCUUAACAAGACAUGUUUGUCGUCUUUUAGCUAGUGUGAUGAGAUUUUGGUACCUGUACAUUCCUUGUACCAACUUAGGCAAAUAAUAAUUUAUUUGUUUUUGUGACAAUUGGUUGAGCACAUCUUCUAGCCUCUUGUGAAUACAUCUGGGACAACGCUUCACACCAGUCAGGUAUAUACUGCUUCAGUUUCGAGUGAAAUCCUCUACCAUAGCCCCUGCCCCAGAUGAAGUGAGCUAUAUAUCUGUAUGAUGAUCCUCCUUUCCUAAAAGUGAGAUUGCCAUAUGUAGUUCAGAACUGACCUAGCUAAGGUUGUUUUCCUACUGAACAAUGAUAUUCCAGUUUGUUCCUCACCCACAUGCUCCCAUGUUAUUGUUAUCGAAAAUAAAAUUGCUCCAUGAAAAUGUGUAAGCUUUAUAUGGCAGAAGGUUGUGCAUUUACUGAAUCAUCAUUUCUUGCACAUGGACGAUUUGGUUGUCCAUGAUUAGGGAUGGACCUCAUAUGUCCUCUGCUAUUGUUGAACAUGUUGUAAUCAAUUACAACUCCUACAGAAGAAUCUGUAAUUUUGACAGGUAUGAGAUAUAUUUUGGUCAAUGCUGCAUGAUGCGUGUGUGGUUGAUGGUCACAUGCUAGCUUAGGUUGUUUUGCUAUAGAAUGGCAUUUAUUUCAGUUUGUACCUCAUCAUGCCCCUUCCCAAUGUCCAUCGUCGAGUAGUUUGCUGGUUUUGUUGAAAAAGAAAAGAAAAGCAAACUGGUUGUGUCCUUCUCACAGGCCCAUAUAGAGAAUUGUGAUUAUCAAUUUACUGAUUUUUGUUCAAAUUUUAUCAUGCCUCUUUUGAGAAGUAUGUCUAUUGAUUCAAAAUUGCCAUGGCAAAAAUAUGUUUCAGAAAAUGACAUGGACUAAAAUGUUCUAUAGAUCAUGAUCCAUAGACAAAAAAAAUGCCAAGAUCCAUACAGUAUAAAUUCCAUGAUGCAUAGGCUAUAUUUGCCAUGGAAGAUGGCAAUUUUGUUGGAUCAUGAUCCAGAUAUUAAAAAAAUGCAUAGACUAUAAUUUCCUGGCAUGAUCCAUAGGAUAAAAAUGUAGAAUAAAAAAUGCCAUGAUCCAUACACUAUAAUUUCCAUGAUGCAUAGACUAUAUUUGCCAUGGCCCGGUGCAAAAGAAAUUUGCCAUGUUGCAAAAAGAAAAGAAAUUUGCCAUGGUGCAUAUAGUGAAAACAAUGCCACGAUCUGUAAAAUACAUUUGUCAUGCUCCAUGAAAGUAAAUUUCCAUGGUCCAAAUGUACCAGAAGUUUCAAGUAGUGUUUUGUUUCUGUGUUUGAAUAGGCAGCAAACUUUCUAUUCUUUCUGUGUUUGUACAGACUUGCUAAACUAUUGAUGAUUUUUUGUUGGGUGUCCUAUUAGAUCUGGAAUGGAAGCUCACAUAAGUUGAGCUGAUUUUUGUCCAUAUGAAAGCAGAGGACCAUAUGGUCUGUGGCCUUUUCAUCCAUAUGAAAGUAGAGGCACAUUGUGGUGCUACUUUGCUGGGUUUUGUCUCCGACCUUCGUGUCAUGAUGAUUUUGUAGGUACCCCGAGAGGCCCUUGAGUUUGCCGGAAUGUCGAUUAACUUACGUUCUGGUAAAUUCGGGUACUCCACAUGUCCUAUUUUCAGCAAAGGUCAUGCUGCAAUUUUCCGUGAAUUUUAGCAUGACUUUGCUAAAAAUAGCACAUAUGGGGUACUUGCGACUAAUGCAUGGGUCGGGGUAUCUUAGUACUUAAUUAAGUAGGAUCAACUGCCCCGCCAUUCUUGCUGCAUUAAACCAUAUAUGGCAAUAGAGCCAAGUGAUUAGGCCCAACCUAAAUGAUGAAACCUUGGCUUUUAUAGGGUGCCUCGGUGUCGAUGAGAACCUAAAUGAUGUACGCUUAGGCUUUUAGGGUGCCUCGGCGUCGACAAACCCUAAAUGAUAAAAGCUUAGCUUUUAGGAUGCCUCGGUGUCGACAAACCCUAAAUGAUGAGACCAUGAUCUUGUUCCUUGACAAUAACCAACUUUUUGACCAAACUUUUUUCCUAUUUAGAGCGACACAUGGCCCACAAUGAUGAGGCCGGCGGUUCGGGCGGCAAGCAAUUCUGGGAGCUGUCCCAGGAGAUGGAGGAAGAACCUCACCGCUACGAGGAUGCCGCGGACGACACCGAUCCUGACUACACAACCCCUAGUGGCGUCGGGGAUGACAUCACUGAUGGUGCCGCCGAGGAUGCCACCACUGAUGAUGGCGGCGCACACACAGAUGGCAGCCAACCGAAGAGGCAAUGGAAGGACCGACGCCCGAGCGUGCUCGGCACCAUCAAGGAGGAAUUUACUGAAGUGAACUCCGCCGGGCAUGCAACGGCGCCCAAAUAAUUAGUCAAGGGGUAAUCGGUUCAGCUCGGGUGCAUUCUCCGGAGCACCGUCUCGAUCAACACCGAGAACCUAAGGCAUAAGGACCAAGGGAAUUUGCGCAGCCUCCUCUUCACGAAGCUGCACGAACGAUACAAGUUCCCCGCUGACUUUGCAAACACACGCCUCUCAGCGAAUAAAGUGAACAAUGCCGCCCUCACAAGGAUGAGCACGGACCUGUCUACUUGGAGAAGCACGGUGAAGGCAAUGAUUGAAAAAGGUGAUAGUUAUGAGAAGAUCAAGGCAAAAUAUCCUUUGAUCAGCGAAGAUGACUACAAGGAGUUCAAGAUCAAGUGCGAGAGCAGCGCAACCUCCGAAUCAAGUCAGUGGGGGAAAGAAAUGCGGCAGUUGAACUUAGGGGUCCACCAACUCGGUCCCGGCGGUUACAGAGUGGCGGAGCCUAUAUGGGACAAGGAGGACGUAGAGCGUGCCGUGCAAGGCCUAUCGCCCCGCUUCGAGAAAUACCGUGACAAGCAGACUAGGAACUUUGUCAGGGCCCGGUACAAGGAGGACCCGGUAACAAAGGAGCUUACCACGGAUCUGAAGACCAGGGCGCUUGAGCUUGUUCUGGUAAGGAAUACACCCUCGCGUAAUUAGCUCCAUAUGGUUGCAUUCUAAUUAAUCCCCAAUAUUUCUAAAUGGUUCAUGUUCCUUCCGCAGGACACUGAAAGCAGUAGCGCGGGGUCGUCUCAGAGCUCCCCUUUCGACACCCCUUUAAAUAGGGCGUUGAACGUAAUGAAAAACAAGGAUAAGCUCAGUAAGCCGUCGUUAGCUGGUCGUGUGGCCGGCAAAGGCUUGUGCACAAAAUGGUCAUCAUACUAUACCGCUGGUGGGCAAAAGGAGAAAAAGACCAGCUCGGAAAGCCAGUCGCGCGAGGUUGAAGCACUCAAGGCACAAGUGGCGCGGAUUCCGGAGAUUAUCCAAGAGCAAGUGCAACAAUAACUGGGAACGACGCUCACCGCCAUGGUGCCUACGUUGAUUUAGGGGCUGACGACAUGGAUUGCGGGCAGCCAAUAGGGGCCUCCCCCGGUUCCCAGCUUCAUGGCCAGCAACUCGCACAACUCGCAGGAGGCGCCAUUGGUGUCUCAGGCGGCACCAUUGGUGUCUCCGGUGAAGGCGGUAUUCAUGUCUCCAGCGCCGGCACGGGCAUUGGAGCUUAAUGCACCCGGGUGUACGCCAGCCGACACCUCGCCAGCAAGCGGCCCCUCCGUCAGUUGCACGCCCGCCGUUGGCGGUGCCUCGACAUUAGCCGAGCUCGACGGCAUCACGGUAACUAAGCCUCUCGGCCGAUGACUUCAUCUCCUUGCCUUUGACUGGGCAUCCCUGACGCCCUACAUGUUUUCGCAGGGCGCCACCGACGUUCCUUGCACUCUCCUGCACUUCGUGGGCGGCGAGUUGGUUGAUGUCGCGAAGGGAAGAAUGGUUCAACCAGGCAACCCCGUGUUCCACGGUAGUCCGAUGCCACCCACAGUGUAUAGGGUUGAACUGGUUCAGGUGCUGCCAGGCUGCGACGAGUUGUUACCUCCGAUUCGACCCGCUGGGGCCGAGGAAGAAGAUAAGAUGACCCUCAGCGCCUGCGUAAACUGGCCCCUGCUUUGGCCGAAGAGCCAGAUUCGUUUGGGGGCGGGGGACACCACCCCACAGACAAGACCACCAGUCGUGCCGGUGCCAAGCCAUGGCAAGAAAGCCACAACGCUACCGGACAUGCCGAACAUCCCUAUGGCACAGGAUCCAGACAUGCAUAUGGCACAGGUUCCGGACGACGAUGACAACGACGAUGGUACAUUUACCAACGUCGAUAAGUACUUUGCCGAACAUGGGUACUGUGAUGAGUUCUGCGGGCCUCCUUCUCAAGAACCCAACCAAGACGACCGCGAUCUAGCUGGUACCACGGGGAAACCUAAUUGCAAUAGGCGUCGUCUGGCAUUUAGUUCUCAGGAGACGCCUCCAGCUGCCGCCUUCACCGAGCCUCAGAUAGCCGAGGUGCGAAAUAUUAUCAGCCCCAACACGCUCAAGAAGGUGGUCUGUGAGAAGAACUCGAUCCCAUUACAACAGAUCAAGAAGAAGGGACGAAAACGAAAGACUAACAAGGGCGCCGGUGCGAGCCAGCCGGCACCGAGUACGAUCCGUGCUCAGGACGGGCCACCUUCACCUAAGGAUAUCUCGAAGAGGGUGCAUGUGGCGGGUAGGUCGAUGCUACCGACAAAUAUGCUCAAUGUUGCAACCGGUGCUAUGCGGAGUCUGCAUGAUAGUGUUCUUUCUUUGGAGAAGAGGCAUCUCUCCCAGAAUGAUGUGGCAUACCCGGUUUUUGUGUCCAAGGUGCCAGAGGGCAAGGGCUUUGUGGAUGGCGCCAUCGGGGGUACGACCGUCCUGCGGUUUGAUGACAUCUUUGCUAUGUUUAACCUUCAUCCGCUGCACUACACCUUCGUUCGGCUGUUUUCGCUGAGUAUGGAGAUGCGGAUCAUUCAAGACAAGACCCCGUACAUCAUGAUAGUCGAACCCUUCUACAUGCGUGCCAAUAUCUUGGGCAGCGCUAGGGACCGGCAAGUCACGAGUUCACAGCUCGAAGGCGUCAUUCUAGCAAACCCAGAUAAGGAUAACUUCCUCGUGCCUUACUUUCCCGAGUAAUUCAUCCCCUCACCGCCCCGUAACAUAUUAUUUCUUAGAUUUCGAUCGUUCUUUUUUUUUUCUAACAUUCCGUGUUCUGUGCAGUGACACACAUUGCACACUCAUCCUCUUAAGCCCGAAAUAUUCCAUGGCCAUGUAUUUUGACCCGGACCGUGACUCCAAGAUAGACUACACAAAUAUCAAGAAAGUUUUUGAUGAUGCUCUCCCCGGCUACGCCACAUCUGGAGGCACCUUUAAGAGGCCAGUUCAUAGGUACGGCAGGCACGUGUUCACCCACAAUACGACGUUCCCCUGCGUUAAGCAGCCGCCUAGCAGUCAGAAGGAUGCCUACUACGCCCUCCAUCACAUGUGGGCGAUCGUACGGGACCAUAAUCACCUUCUGCUACCAAAUAAUCUCAAAGAUUGGGCCGCAAGCUUGGCGGCAAUCCAGGACGCGGACCUCCGACAAGAAUUCUUUCGCAUCCAGACGGAGUUUGCAGAAAUCAUCCAUCAAGAUGUCCUUCGUGCCUCGGGGCAGUUCUACCUUAGAGAUCAACCGUCCAAUAGUGAGAUAGACACAAUGCUACAAAUGCAGGCUGACAACGCCCACGACUUCAUGACCAUCACGAAAGAUGGCGGCUUCGUCCAUGCUCCGGUCCCAUGAGUCGAGUCGAAAGUAGUGAUGCUAUUUGUAGUUCUGAAACAUCGAUUAGCUCAUGUUGUAAUUAAACUUUAAUGAACUUGUAUGUCUCUUUGGUUUGGACAGUCGUUCAACUUAGAUGUAAUCGAUGCUAUUUAUUAGUAGGACCAUGAAUCGUGCUAUUAAUGUCUUGCUUUUCUCUUCCGAUCCUUUUGUUGCAUGCUUAUAUAUUGCUUAUGUAUUGUCUGUUGUUUGGCUUGUGCAUAGAGAUGUCGUCGUAUGUCGUGUACAAGGGUAAGGUUCCCGGAGUCUACGGCGACUGGGAGGAGUGUCGGAGACAGGUUCACCGUUUCAGCGGUAACAAUUACAAAGGGUACACCACUAGGGCGGAGGCGGAAUCUAGAUACACGCGCUAUCUAGCGAGAGAGAGGAGGGAGCGUUGGAGGAACCGGAUGAAGACUAGUUUCAUCGCGAUGAUGCUCAUCGUGAUGACCGCGGCUCUCUUCUAUGUGAUGGUAGUUUAGAUGAUCGAUCUCGACUUGUAAUGUGAAGACAAACUCGCUACUCGCGGUCUCGAGACUUGUAAUGUUCUAUCUUUGUUCGGUCUUUUGAAUUCGGAGACUAAUAUGAUGAAUUGUAUUCGGAGACUAAUCUUCUAUUGUAUUCGAUGAAUCUGUUGUUGCUGUGUGGUGCUGUCUAUAUUCUGUCCAAUAAUAUAUUUUGUAACCUGUGCAAAAAUCAGAAAAGUAAAAAAAAAUCCUAAUAUUCAUAAUAAUGGCACAUCACCCCAAAGUGCGCCAUUAGUAUGCCAAAGGAUACUAAUGGUGCAUCACUCCACAGUGCGUCAUUAGUAUGCCAAAGCACAUGGGUAAAUAUGGCCCCCUGGUAGGCAUACUAAUGGCGCAUGUUGGUCUAUACUAAUGGCGCACGAUGUGGUGCGUCAUUAGUAUACCAGAUACUAAUGGCGCACCAGUGGUGCGCCAUUACUAUUUAAUACUAGUGGCGUGGUACUAGUGGCGCACCGGUAGUGCGCCAUUAGUAGGCAAAACUGGUGCGUCACUAGUAGGCCUUUUCCUAGUAGUGUGUGCGAACCCUUCCGAUUCGAUCAACACCGAAGUAAAAUAAUCAACUUAAAAAAUUUCUCAUCUAAUUGAUGUGUGUGUAACUAAUAAGUACGAUUAUGAUGUGAAAGCUAUGACACACACAAGUACUCAAUUGUAGCUAAUAGAAUUGAAGAAUUUAAGGAGCGGCUUCUUAAAGAUCUUGAAAGUAAUUUACCUAGUCAUGUUUGUUCAUUAGUGCUGCAAAACGUUGAGUAUCCUGAGUAAAGGCCGAUGGAGAAUAGUGGCUUCAUUAACUUUCCUAGUAAUAUUCAUACAGCUGAUGCAUCAGCUAAUAACGUUGUGCAGCCCCAUGUCCCUUUAAGUAGCGAUUAAGGUGGCAAGAACUAUGUGAGCAGUUCAGCUAAUAAUUUUAUGCCUAGCAUAGUUGCUUCUAUUGUCUCAACUUCAGUUCCACAAAAUCACAACAGCAAUAACCGAAGUGCUAGUUUUAAUUCUAGCUUGCACCAACCUAUUUAUUAGGAAAUAGCUAUAAUAUACCACCGCUACUGUCUGUCGAUACCGGCAUUCUGUACUGGCCGAUAAUCGAUUCAUAUUUUAGUGGUUCUUCGUUGCAAGAAUCACAUGCUCAAAUUUCUUUGUCAGGGUUUCGACCACAUGCUAGCACUCCAUCUGCUUCACAAACCAAUUCUCUACAGCUGAAUGAUAGUUUUAAGGAUAAGCUUGAUAAUAUACUUAGAGAAUAGGUUUAGAACCUAAGGGUAAAGCAUGUGUAUAUAAAAAAAUCAUACCCUAAUUACUUCAAUUUGAUGGCAUAUCCUCGUGGUUUUACUAUUCCAGAUUUUUUUACGUUUACAGGGGGAGAUGGUAGAUCCACUUCUGAGCAUGUCGAACAAUUUUUAGCCCAAUGUUGUGAUAUUGGCACAUCAGAUGUUUAUAGGAUAAAUUAUUUUUGUUCCCUUUGUCCGGUACUGCAUUUACUUGGUUUACAUCGCUUGCUCCUAAUUCUAUUUCAACAUGGGCGCAACUUGGGCAAAACUUUCAUGAGUAUUUUUAUUGUGGUGAAACUGAACUUCAACUUUCAGAUUUAACUAUGGUUAGGCAGAAAUAUAAUGAGCAUGUUUAUGAUUAUAUUAAGAGGUUUAGAGAUGUCAAAAACCAAUAUUUUAGCUUGACCAUAGCCGGAAAGGAUUUAGCCGAUCUUGCCUUUUCGGGCCUGCUUGCUCAUAUUAAGGAUAAAUUAGAAGGACACAAAUUUUUAGAUGUUGUUCAAGUUUUGCAAAAAGCUUUGGCGCUGGAAAACCGGACUAAGGAGAUUAAAUAAUAUAGCCGGUUUAAACAUAAUACUGAUAAUGAGAAGGAUAACCAUGUAGGUAAGGCCUUAGAUUAUGAUAGUAAUUCGGCUAGUGUAGAUGACGUUAAUAUAUGUGUAGCCGAAUAGGUUCAAGUGCCAAAGUCAAAACCUUUUGCAUGUUCUGCUUUGAAACCCACACAUAGUAGAAGAGACGAAAUUAAAUACACUUUUGAUGUUAGCAAGUGUGAUAGAAUUUUUGAUAUGUUACUACAAAAUAAAUUAAUUAGAGUGAGAGAGGGACAUGUAAUUCCACCUCCAGAAGAAUUGGGUAGAAGGGCUUAUUGUAAGUGGCACACUUCUUUUUCUCAUUAUACUAAUAAUUGUAAUGUAACGUAUUUCAUCGACCGGUGCAAUCAACCAUUAAUGAAGGACGAUUGACUUUUAAAAAAGUUUCUAAGAUGAAGCUCAAUAGUGACCCUUUUCCUAUCAAUGUGGUCAAGCUUGAGAGUAAGAAAAUUCUUAUUCGGUCGGAUCAGACGGAGUAUGCACUAGAAAAAAUGUUGUUGAUGAUAGUGCUCCUCCAAGGAUGAUCAAACAAAAAAAAUUCAAAAAUAGGAGUCUGGAAAGUCAAUGAAACGGGACAAGCUCCAAGGCCAAAGCCGACAGUUAGCAUGUUGUUGGAAAAAUAUACCUCACGCAAGGCCAACAAUGUGUUUAACCGGCUCGGAGGUAAUAAGCGUGCUAGAUCUCGUUCUGGAUCUAACAUUCAUGAGCUAUGGCAAAGAAAUUCAUAUGACCAGCAAUCAUAUUUUGCAAUGGAGCCGACAUAUUGGGGUUGUGCACCUCCUAUGUAUCCGCAAUCUCCUACACGGGGUUUAAUCCUUGGGCUCCAUAUUCUACAGGGCCAGCAUGCUAUUUUCUGCCGGGAUGGAUUCCGCCGAGGCCUAUGUUCAGACCGGAGAUGCACGAGAAAAGGGCUCAGUUCAAUGAGGAGGCUAGAUCACAUAACGCCAUUGAGAUUCCAGCAAGUCGAUCACAAGUGCAAUGCAUAUGGAAAAAACUAUAAAAGUGACCACAAUCGCUAUGGGUGCCGGUGAAGCGUGCAGAACUGAAACCAACAAAAAGUUCAGAUGAUUUAAAUGUUGCUCAUGGUCCGAAAAUUGGGUAAUGCCAGUUAGGUGAAGGUGUUGCCAAUAGUACACAAACUAGCAGUAAUGUUCAAUCAGAACCGGUCCCAAAGGAGGCCAUUGAUACAGACGAGAAUAGUAAUGGUGCGAAGCUGCCGCAAACUGGUCGGUCUAAUCAAUCUUUUCAGACUAAUUUGAGUCAUAGCAUGCAAGCAUAUGGUCAGACAAGGCAUUUGUUGUAUCCUCACGUGCUAGUCAAAAUUAUAAAUCGGCAAGUUCACAUGCUAAUUUAAUCACGGGGAGUUGUUAUCCAUGAACGUCCAAAGGUUUCAAGUCUAGCGCUAGUACAUCUACAUGUUGGGGUUCAAGCAACGGACAUAGCCAGAAAUUUAAAGCUAGCCGUGCAUAUAAUCAUCAGAGAAUUUUUCGGCCAGGGAAAUACCUCAGUACAGGUUGAAGGACCCGCGGGGGAGGGGAGGAGGGGUAGAAUUAAGUCAGUCGCGCCAGGAACUAAACCGGUACUUUGGUGGUGCCCAAUGGGACAUACAAACACUCAGAAGCGCCGUGUACAGAGACUGCGUGCAUUGGAAACAAAGGAAGGAACAGCCGAGAAGAAGUGCGAUGAAUGGUUCGAUAAAGAUAAACCAAUGGUGCUGAUAAAAACUUGGAAGGAGAAGCGCAUUGCGGCGGAGGAAAAUGAAAAUACUGAUGACACGAUUGCUGCUGAAAAUUCAGAGAAUGAUAGAGAUGUACCAACAGAUAUGGAUGUUAAUAUGGUGUUCGCGUUGCCCACUGAAUUUCAUGCUCCCGAGGCUGAAGUUGUUGAGCUUAUUCUUGGUCUAAAAAAUGCUACAUUUGAGAAACCGAAGAAGCACGAACAACACCUAAAGCCAUUUUUUAUCAGGGGUAUCAUUGAUGUGGGAGAAGUUAACAAAACCUCUCAUGAAAAAGACUUGGCGAUAUAUCAUUCCAAGUAUCGCCAUAAGCAAAUUUGGCCGGUAUACUAUUUGAUAUAUCGCCCAGAGAAAAUUUGGCCAAUCUGCUCUUUGGACAUCGCCCUAGGCUAUAUGGCCAGUGAGGUUAUCCACAUCGAGAUAUUUAAUAAUGUUUUUCGGGAAUACAAUUGUAUCAAAAACAAGAAGGCAUGUGUUUAUGACAUAAUUUGGCUACUAGGUUUUUUAUGUGCCAAAUUAAUUAAAUGACCAUGGUUAGAUUACUGGUUGAUAAAUAAAUUUUCCCUUUAUGUUUAAUUCAAAUACAGGGCUAGAUCAUAGUACAGUACAUACGCUGUAGCGGUCCUGGGGCAUGAGCAAUGAAGUCAUGGACAUGAAGGUGCAACAACACAAGGAUAAUUUAAUCAUUAUUAUCUGGUGUGAUAGCCACAUGUCUGAAAUAUUUUAUUAUUGAUAAGGCAAAGAGUGUAUAUGGCCAGAAAAUGUAGCCAUGCAGGUUAGAUGAAUGAUUCAAAACGUCAAAGUACUAUACAUGAUAGCCCAAUUAAGAUGACAUGAUUAGAUAUUAAUCGGUUUAGAUUUUAGAGUUCUAUUCGUAUACGCCAAGUACUGCCUUGUAUAGGUUAAAGUCCAGCGUGCCUUAUAUAUAAAGCCACGGCCGAUUGAAGAAAAAAACCAACAAUCGAUCUAUUCAAUACAAACACAUUACUUUUAAUCGCUCGUUUCUUUUCAUAGUUUCUUCCUGCCGUGCCUGGCAGCCCGAGGGCUUGGUGAUCUUUGUUGUUUUGCAUCGAAAAACGGUCGGUUUUUCUCCAUGAAAUCGAGGGAUUCUUUGUUGCUUUGCCCGGAAAGUAAUCGUUCGUCGUCACGAAAGCACGACAAAUAUCCUGGUGUUGUGCGGCGAUUUCACGUGCCAACAACACCAAUCACCGAGAAAAAAAUAUGCCCUCGCCUCCUUUUUUUUCCGAUGAGGAACGUUUUUAUUAACUCAAAAUGUUGCCCUCACCUCCUGCUGUCCAUGAAGCUUUCUUUGAGUUCUCCAUCUGACAUUGAUCACGAUUCCAAAGGCUGUGUGCCAUUUGGUUGUGUCCAUGCCAGGAGCUGCAUUAGGCUUCAGACAAAACUCCACAGUGCACUCACUAUCCCAAACUGCAUCUAAGGAGUAGAAUGAAGUUUCCGGAAAACUUCGAUCACAAAACCAUGUUACAGUGCAUAGGCUGUUGCCAUUUGGUUUUGUCCUUGCCAAGACCUGCACUAUUCUUCAGAGAAACUCGACAGUGCAGCGCACAUCAGUGAAGCUUUGAUCAAAACCAUCAGGUUCAUUCAUGACAAAAGGGGUGAUCAUUCAGUUUCCCAGACAAAGAAAUGAGACGGACAACGAAACUUUGCAUUGAACUCUGAAAGAUGAACACCAUGGGCAGGCGUUUAUUCAAGGCAACAAAUGCGGCUCGCAGGAACAAGCAAGCACUGCACGACCAGACCAAAUGAAAACUACGGUAGACAAAUCAUAACGCAGCUGACACUUCACCCUCCCGCUGAAUGCGCCUCUUCACGCCUCGACGCACCAAUGGAACUGCAGCAGCCUGGAUUCAAGAAAAAACAUACAACAACAAAAAACAGAAGUGAGAAUUGUGCGGAAAUGGACGCUGAUAUACAUUGCUCUCGGAUAGUCAGAGAACUUGCCAAGCUGCAGUACUUCAGGGCGUAGAACAUCUCCAGGUAACGGCGAGUCUCGCGUCUCUCCAGGUUGCUCACGUACUUCCAGAAUCCAUACACACCGGUCAGAGUCAUCAGCCUCUCUGAGUACAGCUUCCAGGCGUACCUGAUCAUUCCAAAAAUAUAGGAUCAGUAUUUGUUCAGAGACGGUACUUUAGUUGGAACUAUUUGGCAUGACUAUAACAGAAUACAUACUUCUCAUAAAUUCUCUUCAGGCCUCCUCCUUCAGACAUUUUUUCCCAGUAGCUUGGAUCCACACCUUUUUGCACUCUCAAAGAAGUUGACCAAGAUAUCAGCCUUGUCUGUAUGGCAAGGAUCGAUGUGCAGAUCAGACACGCCAUCCAGGAUUAUUUCAGCAAGGCCACCAUGGUAUGUCUCAAUUGUCGGCAAACCACAUGUCGUGGCCUCAAUGACAGUCAGGCCAAAAGCUUCAUAAAACGCGGGCUAGAGACAAUUGAAAUAAGGGUUUACUCUAGUGCAAACUCAAGGCUGUUCUUUCCAAAUGUUGAUUACAAUAGAAUAUGAAAUGGCAUGGUGUAUACGUGCACAAAUGCUCCCUUGGUAUCACUCGCAUAUGUAGCGGUAUAGCUCACCAUUGCGAACACGGCUCAUCUGAGCUGAGAUCCACUUGAUAUGGCCCUUCAGAUUGUACUCGUCAAUGAGCCUGUACAGUACAUCCUCUUGAACUCAAACCUAUUCCUCCCUAGUCCGAGUCCCUAUCCUUUGCAAUGAACCAAAACUCGUUCAGUUUAACUUGACGUUAAUUCCACAUUGCUAAGAUUCUGGAGCAUCGGCAAAUGGUCUUCAGUGACCGUACUUCCUUGCCUGACGACUGGUACGUAGAAGUGGCAUACUUGUAGUGAUGCCGUCCUCUUUCACUGGAAAGGAACAAUAGCAUCAGGCCAACCAACCAAAUCCCAGGAUCAUUGUAAACUAAGUGCUCGUUACAUGGCUGUUGCAUUUCCUAAUACCUCCCACUCCCAGCGUCUUCGAUGUAGUGCAGUUUACACUGGCCGUCCAGUUUCACAUGUAAUACGAAAUAAACUUUGAGUUGACUUGUGCACUAGCGCUAUUAAUCCACUAUACUCGUUGCAAAGAAAAUAAUCUGUAUAUUAGCCACCUUUCCUCGCUCUCAAUUCUGAAGCUUUAUUUGAGAUCUCCAAGAGUGUCCCUUCCCUCCCAUUUAUAAACAAGACUAACUUAUCAACUUUAUUUCCAUUUAUUACUUUGAAAUAAUAUGAUGCAAAGGCUGCAACAAUAUAUACCUGGCAUUUGUGUGCGCACCAUGCCAAUAUAUAACUGGUUGUUAGUUGUUGCUGUGGCGCAGGGCAACCAUUGAUGAGAUGUUGGUACAGCAGUUACUGGAAGCGAGGUGGGGGUGUUUUGUCUUCCAGCAAAAUCUCCUCUGGCCGGCUAGUUUUGUGUUAGUGGGUUGUUAGAGAACACAAGGUCUAGUCUAUUGGCUAGAUUAGGCAGCAACAACGUUUCCUUUGGUUCUGCUUUAGGGGUGAUUGCCCCAGGUUUGCCUUUGGUUAGACAACAACAUUGGCGUGCGAGCGGGCAAUUCCUUCUUAAAGGUAUUGUCUGGAGUUGUGCGCCCUUUGAGUGGCACACGUCGCUCGAAUGGUACAUUAUGGUCCAGGGUCAUAGGGUUUGAGGAGAUGUUACGACAAGGUAGGUCCAAUGGGCAUGGUCUCUAGUUUUCCUUUCUUUUACUAUAAGCCGAUUUAUUGGGCAUCAAAGCUUGGCAUUGUUUGAUAUUGUUUCAAGCAAUUCAUGAUUUAUUUUAGUAGUAUGCAUUAAUCAAUGCAGAGGCCAAGAAUUAAACUCCUUUUUAAAAAGAAUGCAAAAUAGGGGCAAAAAUGGCUACCAACGAAAUUUUGUCAUUGAGAUCAAGUCUAGGUAUACAUCAUCUAACUCUCGACAUGAUUUUGUAGUAAUAUAACUGUAACUAAAUUGAUUGGAAAAAACUUGAGUGUAUCACAACAUUAGAUAACAAGACACUAAAACAAUCAAAGGAAAAAACAAUAAUAUGUGGCACAUACAAAAAGAAUAAGGGUGCCUCUAUUUGCAUAUGGACAUAACAUUAUAGAAUUUUUACUUGUUUGUUUUGGCCAAACUGUACAAUAGAUCAGCUUGAAACUUUAAGGUCAAAAUAAAUUAGUACUACAAUGUGUAAAACUGAUUUCAGAAAUUUCUAAAAUGAUAGGAUUGCACCUGAUACUAGAAAUGCCUUCUUUCAACAACUAGAGUGUUUGUGUAAACCAUUGAUCAUGCUUGCAAUAGUUUCACUUCUUGUAAUCGUUAUCACAAGUUAGGCAACUAAAAUGAUGAACACAAUGGAGUGCAUUUAUUUGAGGAAACAUUUAUGCAGAAAGUAAGAACCAGAAAGCACUACACAAACCUUGCAUAAGUCCAAGACGAAAAAGUACAAACCUCACGACAGACCAACUACGAUAAACUAUGAAAACAUAGCCGACACUUUUUUAAAGACUGCAUAGCAACACUUGACUUAUAAAGGCUGCCACUCUUCAUGCCCCGCAUCAGUGAUGGAGCUAGCCCGUGCGUGGACCAUAGACAAAACAAAAAGGCAUGUCGUUGAUGGGCAUUUGGCCAGUAAAAUGGAGGAUCAAUUCUUCAUCUCCCGCUAUAAUGUACUGAAAGUUUUUGGGCAGAGCCUGGGCAUCUGCUCACGGUCGUCGGGAGGUGACUCCGCCAGUGCCCCACAUAGUUAGUUGUCAGAAUUGUGGUUGUCGAUAGACAAAGGAACAACCAUGGGCCACCUCUGGAUUCAACAUAAUAAUGCAAAUUAUAAGCAAAGCAUGUUAAAAUGGAUAUUAAUAGUCAUUGUUCAUUGAAAAUUAAAUAACUUAUCAAGUUGUGGUAACUUAGAGUAUCGAACAUCGAGUAGGCGUUGCCACCUUGGGAUUUUAGUUCUUGUUGUUCUUUACGAAAUAGAAAUAUGCAAUGCAAAUUAUUGAAAAUUGGGAUUGUUGUAGUGGAUACCUCAAUAUGGAUUUCUUGUAAUCUUAAAAUUCUGAAAUUGGAUUCCAACUUCUUUUUAAGAUCUUAUGAUCAAUAUCAUGAAUAUUACUUUAAAUUAAAAUUAGUAUUUUAAAUUUUGCAAUAUUCUUCAUCAGCUCCAGCAAUGAGCACUAGUAGAAAAGAGGGCUUUGGUCCACCCCGGUUUAGCCCAUUAGUCCCGGUUCAGUCUGGAACCGGGACUAAUGGGGGCAUUAGUCCUGGUUCGUGCGCCCAGGGGCCACGUGGGCCAUUUGUCCCGGUUCAUCUGGACCUUUUAGUCUCGGUUGGUGCCACGAACCGGGACUAAAGGGUGCGAUGCCCAUUAGUCCCGGUUCGUGGCACCAACCGGGACUAAAGGGUUAGACCACUGGUGGAAAAAAGGUCUUUGGUCGCGGUUCGCAACUGCCAUUAGUCGCGGUUGCGCAACCGCGACCAAAUAAGCGCGACUAAAGCCCCCCACCUUUAGUCGCGGCUGCUUAAGAACCGCGACUAACGGCCCGUCCACGUGGGCGCCAGGCGGCCGUCGGGGCGGAGGACCUUUAGUCGCGGUUCUUCUGGCCAACCGCGACUAAAGGCCGCCACAGGUUUAGGGUUUUAGCCCCCCCCCCUAAACCUGUUUUCUGUUUAAUUUGUAUUGUUUUAUUUCUUUUGUGCUUUAUUUUAAUUUUGAAGGAGUUUCAUAUAUUCUACGGUACUAUUAGAACCAAAAAGAAUUCAAGAGGAAUAUACAAUAUAUAUUCAAUAUCAUCGGAUGACCAUAUACAAUUUUGAACAAGUUUCCAUACAUGAUUUAAUGCAUAUAAAGUUCUACGUCCUCGUAAUAGUGUUCUCCUUUAGGAUGGAGGACUUCCCUGCUGAACCAUCCAGCUAGUUCCUCUUGAAGUGGUCGGAAGCGAGCUUCUGGACUAAGCAUCCACCGGAGGUUAUUCCUCUGAGCAUUGGUAUCACUCGGAACCCGCUCAGAGGUGUAUCUCCGGAUCAUCUCACAGACAUAGUAUCCACAUAGAUUGGUCUCCGGUGGCUGAAUAUCCCCAGCAUUCUUAGCCUUUAACAUUUUGAAUUCUAGCUCUUUUUUGAAUUCACCGACCUUUGUAUCUACGAACCGUCUCCAAACCCUACGAGGCAAAGAAAAUUAAAUGAACAAGAGAGUUAUUAAUUAGUUACUUGAUAUUAGGAAAUGAACGAAAUAGGGCGAUCGAUAUAGAGCGCAAAUGAAUGAAAAUAAUUACUUCUGCAGCAUUCUUCUCAUGCCGCCCCAAAGCUUUGGAUCCAUAUUCACAGAGUCGUGGACGAGACAUUCUGAGGUGUUAACUUUAAUUACUAGCAGAAUCCAGUGGAACCUGCGGACACGAUACAUGCACAGUACGUCAUGCAUAACUCAUCGAUUAGCCGGCCACAUACCAUGCAUGGAGUAAACAAAAGAGAAUGUGCUCAAGACAGAAACACUCACUCAAAAUGGUAAGGAAAUAGAAUAUCACUUUUGAGUUCCUGCUUUGUAAGAAACUGCCACAGGUCUGCCUCCACGUCGGCGGGGUAACGCUCCAACACAUGUCCAUUAACGAUGUGUGGGUCAAUGAACCCAACAUCAUGGAUGUUCCUUACUCUGCAUUCCUUAAUCUUCAUUCUGCAUGUAUAAUAGCGGACACAACAAUAUAGUUAGGACAUAUAUAUAGUGCAGGUAAUAUGAACGAGAUGGGGUAGAAAUUAAUAAAUCACUUACAGAACGUAGCAACUGAUGAUAGAUUUAUCGAGCUCGCGCAGAUUGAAAAGCUGGAACAAUUCACUCAGUUCAAUUUGUACAUAGUAAUGUUUGAAGUGAUGCUCAUGUCUAACUUCCGCAUAAAUAUAUUCUUUGGCGUUUUUAUUUUUUAUGUAACCCUUGUACCAUUUCAGCAGACCUUUCAUUUGUGGAGGUAGAUCCUUUUCCUGCGCAGGCUCGACGAGAGGCCCAUUCUUGACAUAUGUAAUUACUACCUCCUUCACUGGCGCCUCAUCAAGGCCUAACAGUUCACGAAGAGUAAUACCUAAGUUGGCCGCUUGUUCUCUGGCACUCGUUACAGUCAAUCCCUGUGCUGCCGCAGCUUGUAUGAUCUCGGGGGCAUCCGGACAGAAGGCUUCCACUAUAAGCGGGGCAAUCGAUUGUUUACUUUGUUUCCCGAGCUGGGCAACUUGUUUCCCGCUUUUUUUACUUUCGGCCUUCUCCCGCUCUUUGUUCUCCUUGAACAUGAGUGCCUGCCUGCGAAGUUCACGUGCAUAGUCGUUAGGCAGAUUCUUCGCGGCUUGGGACGGUGUGCUCAAAAAUGACUUAGCCCACUUCUUUUGCUCAUCAGAAAAUACUGGCUUGCGCUCGGGCUCUCUUUUCUUCUUGCAGUCCGCCUUCCAUUUCUCCAAAUCAGCAGCCGCGGUCGCGUCGACUUCCUCGGCACUACGUUCCCAAGGCCUUGUGGGGAGAGGCUUCAGUGAUGGCUCCGGUACCUUUGUGGUCUUAGGUACAUAAGGGUCCGGGUUAAUAAUCCAGGACUGCUUCUGCUUCUUUGCCGGAGGUGGAUUGGGGGGCGGCGUCUGAUCACCCGCCGGAUGAGGACUGGGGGGCGGCGGCUGAUCACCCGCCGGACGUUGUGGACUGGGGGGCGGCGUCGGCUGACGUGACGGAGGUGUAGGUGAACCGCCGCCACCACCACCACCACCACCACCGCCACCGCCACCACCACCACCGUAGGGGGGUGGACUUGUUGUCCUUGGCGCCUCUCCUGGAAACUUGAUAAACUUCUUUUGCCAUAGAAUGAAAUGGCGCUUGACAUCUCCAAGUCUUUUCUCCCCUUCAGGUGUAGCAAUGUCAAUCUCCAGGUCCUCAAACCCUUGGACUAUGUCCUCCACCGUGACACGAGCAUAGCCAUCUUGAAUGGGGUUGUUGUGGUGGAGUGCUCCAGGUAAACAUGGUAAAGCACUGCCGAUGGCUACCUUCAUGGACAUGUUCCCGAUAGGAUAAUACAGAUGACAUUCUUUCAUCUCCUUUAUAUCGUCCACGGGGUAGCGAGGAGGCUCCGGUGAAGUAAUUUCGACCACCAGAGGCUCCGGUGCAGUAAUUUGGACCACCAGAGGCUCCGGUGCAGUAAUUUCGAUCGUCGGUGCAUCUGCACCAGCCGGUGGGGCCUCCGUGGAAGCCACGCUACUUCUCAGCUGCUGGCUUCCGAGAUCCGCUGGAUGAUCUUCAUGCUGCACCCGAGCUGCAUCUCUUUCGGCUACUAGUACACUCAUGGUUUUCUUCAUCACAUCCAUUUCCGAUGCCAACCGCGCCACAACAUCUGCUUCCCGAUCCAUCUUUCUCUUACGGCUUCUGUAACCGUAUGGGUCAUCGUUCUGGGGGAACCCUAUUUUCCACGGAAUGUGCCCCAUGCCUCGUACACGUCCUCCGUGUUCAGGAUUCCCGAGGGCUUUUGUCAGCGCGUCGUUCUCUCUGUUGAACUUGAUCUUCCCCUGUUGAGCAUCCCUCAUUGCGUUAAUAAGGGAUUGGGUGGGUUUAAUUAAUUUGCCCCGGUAAACACACUCCCCUGUCUCCGGGUUCAGCGUUCCCCCAUGCCCGUACCACCAGCUUUUGGCCCUUGGGUCCCAUCCCUCCGUACCUGGAUGGAUUCCUCGCGCCCUCAGCUCGUUCUCCAUCUUCUCCAACCUAGGCACCCAAAUGCGAUACCCUCCUGGCCCCAUAACAUGAUUGUACUCCUUCUUAGCCGCAUUUUCCUUAUUUUUUUUUGAUAUUUGAAUGAACUGCUCCGAUUUCUUUUGCUUCACAAAUUCUGGCCAAUCAUGUUUCAGUUUCUCAUAUUGUCCUUUGAAAUCCGGAGUCUUGUUCUGCUUGACAAAGUCAUGGGCUAGAUUUUGCUUGAAUUUCCGGAAUGCGUCGGCCAUCUUAUGAAGAGCGAACUGUUUGACUAGCCUCCUCCUCUCCUUGUUUUCCUCAAUCUUGUUACCCUCCUCAUCGAAUUUGUUGUAUUCCGGAGGUAGAACGAAAUGUUCCAUAAGCUUCUUGAAGCAAUCUUUUUUUGUUCUCUUAUCGACAAAAGUGAAACCAUCAAUUCGUGCCUUCUUUGGCUCAUUCCACUCCUGGACGGUGAUCGAGACGUUGUCUCUAACAAUGGCUCCGCAUUGGCUGACAAACUUGGUGGCGUUCUUGCGGGGCUCCAGCGGCCUGCCGGUUGCACUGUCGACAACCUCGAUGGUGCAUGUUUCUCCUUGUUUCAUCGUCUUGGUUGCGCCACGCUUUGACGACGUACUCGAUUGUUUCGACGAUCUGGCCGAGGGCUAAAAUAAGAAAGAGUCGCGCGCGUUAGUACACACAUAUUUAUUCAAAUCAGUUAGUUUGUAUCACCAGAGGCUCAAUGUAUAUAUAUACCUCGGUGCCGGAGGUGGUUGCUACUUCCAUUUGAAGAUCGUCGUUUAUCGACGUUUGUUCGGCAUCAUCUUGCUGACGGCGCCCUUCAUCUUCACCGUCAAGGUUCAGAUAAGAAGAGAUAUCAUCUUCUUCUUCUCCGGUCGGCACAUAUAGAAUAUCGCCGUUUAUGAUGCCGAACAUAUGUGCUUCACCGUUCGGAUCAUAGUUGUCCAUAAUCGGGUCAGCUCUAUCGUCCGCCAUUAUGUCAGUCCUGAAAACAUGUAGUAAAAACAAAUUAAUUAAGUGAAGAAGGGGGGCGGUGGCGGUGGCGGUGGCGAAAGGGCGGUGGCAAAAGGAGGGGGCGAGGAAGGGGUGGGAGAGGGUGUCGCGGUAGAGCGCGAGACGGGGCGGCAGACGACGGCGUCACGGAGAGGGAGGAAAUUCCAAUUUGUCAUGUCGCGAACCCAAAAUGGGCCGGCCCAGGUGAGCUACGUCCUGUGAGACGCGUCGACUUUUUGAUGCAAAGAGCGUCACACAGGGCUGGAUAUGACGCUGUCUGCGUCAAACUGUCGAGCGAACGCACCUACGAGGGUUCCCAACCCUUUUUUUAUUUUCAUUUCUUUUCCUUUCUUUUUCUGUUUCGUUUUUCUUUUCUUUUUUUGUUUAUUGUUCUUUUUCUUUUUCUUUUUAAAAAAUGUUCUCCUUUUAAAAAAUGUUCUAUUUUUCAAAAAUGUUCAUAUUUUCAAAAAAUGUUCGAUUUUCACAAAUUUGUUCGUGUUUUCAAAUUUUGUUCCGGAGUUUCAGAAAAUUGUUUGUGUUUUCAAUUUUUUUUGCCGGCUGUAGCCAACUAUCCAUUCGUCCUGCAAGGAAGGGGAACAGGGGACGAGGUGGGAGAAGCUCACGGCGAGGAGGGACUCCUUGGCGGAGAGGCGCUCCGUCUCGCGGGCGUAGCUGGUAGCGGGCUCCCACGCCUGUGCGUACACGUCGUCCCGCCGGGGACGGACGGGUGGCGGCCUGGAUGAGCAGCGGGACAGACGGGCGGCGGCCCGGAUGAGCAGCGCGGCGGCCGGGGUCGGACAGGCGGCGGCCUGGAUGAGCAGCACGGCGGCCGGGACGGACGGUCGGCGGCCCGGAUGAGCAGUGCGGUGGGCGAGGGCGACGGCGGGCGGCGUCGAGGGCGAGGGCGACGGCGGGCGGCGUCGAGGGCGCGGCAGAGACGAACAGGCGGGAAUCGGAGAAGACGAGAAUCGGACCUCGUAUUUAUAGCCCCCCCCCUUUAGUCGCGGGUUGCCUGCCCAACCGCGACUAAAGGGUUUUUGGCAGGUUUUUUGCGUUCCCGCGCCCCCACCUUUAGUCGCGGUUGGUCUGGCCAACCGCGACUAAAGGGUAACCUUUAGUCGCGGGUCUCGUCGCCAACCGCGACUAAAGGCCGCCGCAGGUUUAGGGUUUCACCCCCCCCCCAAACCUGUUUUCUGUUUAAUUUGUAUUGUUUUCUUUUUAAUUUGUAUUGUUUUCUGUUUAAUUUGUAUUGUUUUCUUUUUAAUUUUUAUUGUUUUCUGUUUAAUUUCAUGUAUCAUCAGUGGUAUCUCGAAUCAUUCGAAAAUGGACACCAAACACAUCACGGGUAAUAUAAUUCACAUGAUCCAUUCAACAAAGUUUGCUACAAUAAAUUAUUACACAUCAUUUCUUCCCUUGUGUCCCUGCUUGCUUACGAUUGUGCCGUAUCCAUGGAGCAUCCUCAUCAUUUAACUUAAUGCUUGGGUCGGUGUUCACUUUGAAGGGCGGAAUUUCAGCAAACAUAUUAUAAUCUUCUGACAUGUCUGUCUUGUCCUCCACUCCCACGAUGUUUCUUUUCCCUGAAAGAACAAUGUGGCGCUUUGGAUCAUCGCAUGAUGUACGGAUCGUUUUCUUAUCUUUCCGUUUCCUCGGUUUGCUACUCAUGUCCUUCACAUAGAAAACCUGAGCGACAUCUUUCGCUAGGACGAAUGGUUCGUCAAGGUAACCAAGAUUGUUGAAAUCCACCAUUGUCAUUCCGUAUUGCUGGUCCACCUUUACCCCACCUCCUGUUAGCUUGAACCAUUUGCACCGGAACAAAGGGACCUUAAAGGAGGGUCCAUAGUCAAGUUCCCAUAUCUCCUCUAUGUAACCAUAAUAUGUGACCUUUUGCCCAUUCUCGGUUGCUGCAUCAAAGCGGACACCACUGUUUUGGUUGGUGCUCUUUUUAUCUUGGGCGACCGUGUAAAAUGUAUUCCCAUUUAUCUCGUACCCUUGGAAAGUCGUUAUAGUCGAAGAUGGUGUCUUGGCCAACAUGUACAGCUGAUCUACAACAUCAUUGUCAUUCAUUAAAUGUUUUCUCAACCAACUGCCGAAAGUCUCCAUGUGGGCCUUCCUAAUCCAGGAUUCAGGCUUCCCCGGGUUGUCCGAGCGUAAAAUAUUCUUGUGUUUCUCAAAGUACGGAGCCACCAAGCUGGAAUUGGUCAGUACAGUGUGGUGUGCUUCAGUCAGAGAAUGGCCGUCCAUACAUAUCGUUGAUUUCCUUCCGAUCGUGCCUUUUCCACUUAGUCUCCCCUCGUGCCGCGAUCGAGGAAGACCAAUCGGCUUAAGGUCAGGAACAAAGUCAACACAAAACUCAAUUACCUCCUCAUUUCCAUAGCCCUUGGCGAUGCUUCCUUCUGGCCUAGCACGGUUACGAACGUAUUUCUUUAAUACUCCCAUGAACCUCUCGAAGGGGAACAUAUUGUGUAGAAAUACAGGACCGAGAACGAAAAUCUCUUCGACUAGGUGAACCAGGAGGUGCGUCAUAAUAUUGAAGAAGGAUGGCGGGAACACCAACUCGAAACUGACAAUACAUUGGAUCACAUCGUUCUGUAACCGUGGUAGAACUUCUGGAUUGAUUACCUUCUGAGAGAUUGCAUUGAGGAAUGCACAUAGCUUCACAAUGGCUACUCGAACAUUUUCCGGCAGGAGCCCCCUCAAAGCAAUCGGAAGCAAUUGCGUCAUAAUCACGUGGCAGCCGUGAGACUUCAGGUUUUGGAACUUUUUCUCCGCCAUGUUUAUUAUUCCCUUUAUAUUGGACGAGAAUCCAGACGGGACCUUCAUACUGCUCAGGCAUUCAAAAAAGAUGACCUUCUCUUCUUUGGUCAGAGCGUAGCUGGCACGACCUUGAAACCAUUCCGGAUGCCGGUCAUCAGGGUCUUUCAAACGUUGUUGGUCCUGCCGUGCUUCCUUUGUAUCAUUUGUCUUCCCAUACACGCCCAAGAAGCUUAGGAGGUUCACGCAAAUAUUCUUCGUAACGUGCAUCACGUCGAUUGCAGAGCGGACAUCUAGGACUUUCCAAUAUUCUAGCUCCCAGAAUAUAGAUUUCUUCUUCCACAUGGCUGCGUGCCCGUCAGCUCCCUUCAGAACUGAUUGUCCGCCAGGACCCUUUCCAAAGAUGACUUUCAAAUCCUUGACCAUAUCAAAUACCUCAGCACCAGUGCGUUCCGCAGGCUUCGGCCGGUGAUCUGCCUUGCCGUUGUAAUGCUUGCCUUUCUUUCUUACUGGAUGAAUUUUCGGAAGAAAUCGACGAUGCCCAAGGUACACGUUCUUCUUACAAUUUGGCAAAUGUACACUUUCAGUCUCAUGUAAGCAGUGCGUGCAUGCAUUGUAUCCCUUAUUUGACAGUCCCGAAAGGUUACUAAGAGCAGGCCAAUCGUUGAUGGUUACGAAAAGCAACGCUCGUAGGUCAAAUUCCUCUUGUUUGUGCUCAUCCCACACACGGACACCACCCCACAGCUGUAAAAGUUCAUCAACUAAUGGCCUUAGGUACACAUCGAUGUCGUUGCCGGGUUGCUUCGGACCUUCGAUGAGCGCUGGCAUCAUAAUGAACUUCCGCUUCAUGCACAACCAAGGAGGAAGGUUGUAGAUGCAUAGAGUCACGGGCCAGGUGCUAUGGCUGGAGCUCUGCUCGCCAAAAGGAUUCAUGCCAUCCGUACUUAGAGCAAAUCUUAUGUUCCUUGCGUCAGCUGCAAAAUCUUUGAACCAUCUGUCGAUCUUUCUCCAUUGCGUUCCAUCUGCGGUGUGUCUCAACUCCCCGUCCGACUUACGGUCCUCUUUGUGCCAUCGCAACAACUUGGCAUGCUCUUUGUUCCUGAACAGACGUUUCAACCGUGGUAUUAUAGGAGCAUACCACAUCACCUUGGCGGGAACCCUCUUCCUGGGUUUCUGGCCCUCAACAUCGUCACCAGGGUCAUCGCCUCUGAUCUUAUAACGCAAUGCAGUGCAUAUCGGGCAUUCAUUCAAAUUCUCGUAUUCACCGCGGUAGAGGAUGCAGUCGUUGAUGCAUGCAUGUAUCUUCAGAACCUCUAAACCUAGAGGGCAGACAACCUUCUUUGCUUCGUACGUACUGGCGGGCAACUCGUUAUCCUUUGGAAACAUAUUCUUCAACAUUUUCAGCAAGUUUUCAAAUGCCGAGUGAGCUACACCUGCCUCUGCCUUCCAUUUCAGCAAAUCCAGUGUGCAGCCCAGCUUUUUCAGACCAUCAUCGCAUCCGGGGUACAGCGCCUUUCUGUGAUCCUCUAACAUGCGAUCCAAAUUCUCCCUCUCCUUUUCAGUUUCGCAGCGUCUCCGUGCAUCAGCAAUGGUCCGACCAAGAUCAUCAACGGUAUCAUCACCGUGCCUCUUCUUCACCUUCCCCUUCACCUUCAGCAUCCUCCAUGAAAGUAUCACCGAAAUGAGCAAGAUAGCUUUCAUCGAUGAAAUCAUCCCCUUCUUCAUCUUCUUCCAUUAUAACCCCUCUUUCUCCAUGCUUGGUCCAACAAUUAUAGCUUGGCAUGAAACCGUGCCGAAGCAGAUGCAUGUGAACAUCUCUUGAGGAAGAGUAACCCUUCUGAUUCUUACAGAUAACACAUGGACAGAUAACAAAACCCCCCUGCUUGUUCGCAUUAGCCACUACGAGGAAAUCUUUCAAACCCGUAGUGAACUCGCCGGAGAGUCGGUUACCGUACAUCCAUUGCCGAUUCAUCUGCAUUAUUAUAAUAUAAAAUAUAUAAUUAACCAUCAUGCAUUUGUUAAACUAACUAGCUACAAACAAUAUAAAUUAAACAAUGAACUGCACACAUGCAUAUUUUAUCAAUGACACAUCAAAGGUUCAUCAAGUUGCUAACCGCGAUCGAGGAGUGUGGCUCCAACACUUCAUGUCAUGUUUGUUUCAUGCUCUUGGGGCAUUUCAUCAAACACCUUAUGUGCAUAAGAGGAACCAAAAGCAAACCUACACCCACUUGUGAAGAGAAUGGCUCCAAAUGGCUAAGUGUUGGCUGCUGGAUGAGUAUAUAUAGGGGAGGGGCUUUAGUUGCGGUUGGCCUGGCAAACCGUGACUAAAGGUGCCCGAAGGCCUUUAGUCGCGGUUGUCCUGGCCAACCGCGACUAAAGACCCUCACGUGCGCCAGCUGGCCAUCGAGCGCCCUGGGCCCAGGCCUUUGGUCGCAGUUCACCUCCAGAACCGCGACUAAAGGUCCCAUUAGUCGCGGUUCCUACAGCUUCGCGACUUAUGGGGCUGGACGGAAGCCUGUUUUUCCACCAGUGGACCUUUAGUCCCGGUUCAUGCCACGAACCGGGACUAAUGGGGUUUGAGGCAUUAGUACCGGUUCAUGGCACGAACCGGUACUAAAGGUCCCAUUUUCAAACUCCACCCCCCCCCCCCUUGGAUCGCCUUUUCAGGUUUUUUUUAAAAAAGAAAAUGAUGAAAAUGUCAAAAAAAAAUAAGUUUCCCAUGUGAUAUGUGGUCUAGUUGUUGGAAAAAUUUACAAAUAUGAAUUUCGACUUUAUUUGCAAAAUCUCUCUAGAAUUUAGUAAAAUGGGCAUAACUUUUGCAUACUGACUCGGAUGAAAAAAAAAUUAUAUGAAAAAUCAUCUACUCGAAAAGUUACAUCCAAAUUUAUUAUGGGGCUUUUAAAAUCUAGAGUGGAAAAAAUCGAAAAAAAUUCAAAUUAUGGUCAAACAAUGGUCAAACUAAUUAUUCUAGAAUAUUAGUGUUACUAAAUAAUUAUUUCAGUUAAUUUGAAUUUUGGUCAAAUCUGGUCAAACUGUGGUCAAACAAUGGUCAAACUAAUUAUUCAAGAAAUAUUAGUGUUACUAAAUAAUUAUUGUUUUUUAAAACAAUAGUUUCAAACUCAAACAGUGAAAUGUGUCACUUCAUGCUCACGCAAAAUUCCUGAGGGUUAAUAGGAUUGACAUCUUACUAUUGUCAGCAAAACAACAAGUGCAGACUUGGAAACGAGGGAGAAUAGAACCCGGAAGUUAAGCGUGCUCAGGCUGUGGGAGUGGGAGGAUGGGUGACCGUUUGGGAAGUUAGAUGAUUAGGAAUGAUGAGGGGUGAUUAGAGAUUAGAGGAUAAAUUGAGCAGUGAUGAGGGGUGAUGAUUAGAGAAUAGAGGUUAAAAUAAUUCAGAAAUUUGAAAAUAAAAAAAUCAACAAAAAAAUUUCAAAUUUUUUUUAAAAAAAAAUCAUAAAAUUUCCUUUAGUCCGGGUUGGUGUUACCAACCGGGACUAAAGGUGGAGCUCCACGUGGCCGCGACCUUUAGUCCCGGUUCCAAUUUGAACCGGGACUAAAGGGGGGAGGGAUUAGUAACGACCCUUUAGUCCCGGUUCAAGAACCGGGACUAAAGGCCCUUACGAACCGGGACUGAUGCCCCCUUUUCUACUAGUGGAGGGCCCCACCCAUUGUCGGCCAUGAUUGAUGUGCCAUAGAAAAAGGUGGAAGGAGGAUGCGGCUGCGUUGGAACAGGAAGACUGAUAAACCUCCGGCCUCUGCAUCGACUAAUGCACACAAUCAUAUAGUGUUUAUUAUUAGAAUAAUAUCUAGCAAAAAUAUGCAUUGAUCCCAAAAAAUUAAAUUAAAAAAGAAAAUGAAAACAAAAGACCAUCCACAUAGGACAUGCCUCACAACGACAUCUCCAAAAUCCUAUUGCAAAUCCUAUGACCAUGAACCAAUCGACUCGUGGAGGGAGAUGUGAACUAGCAAAGGGCGCAACACACCAAGAGAAUGUCUUCAAGAAGGAAUCACCUAUUGGAUGGCGUUGUUGGUUGGUUCAACCAUCCAUCGGACUAGGGGCUCUCACCGAGAAGCUGAUCUUUGCAUCAACCUUCAAUAAGGUAAUUAUGUGGAGAGGGUGUUGAUGCCUGAUCAAGUAGAAGGCUAAAUCAAGGGUUUGCUCGCUAAGAGAAUACAACCCCAUAGUCUCCAUCCACCACUCUAUCCGUCUGCUCACACAGAGCAAGCCAGACAAAGUAGAAAUCAUCAAAAGGGAAGAUGUCAUCGCAUACAUUCCAAUUGUUGUCGCACCACCAUCUCGUUGAUAGUUACUCUGUGUGCAAAGACGAUGUCUAUAGCAGUCGUUACUAGAUGCACUAUCCAGGUACAAAGGACAAGUCAUUGUAAAAGUCAGAUUAACUUAAGAACCGGUUUAAUAUAUUAUCUUGGUAGUUGAUAUCCAUUUAUCAAUUUAUGUACCCUUUACGUCUGUUAAGAGCCUCCCCUCAACGAGUUUUCUUUCGCUAGAAGUUUGAAGAAUGUCCUCUAUUCUCUCUGGGCUUUUAAAGAGCAGCUACCGAACGAUGUUCUCCAUUAAAAAUUUUGUAUUCCAGCAACCAUGAUUGCAUCCAAGGUUGCCAACUUGGAAGACAAAUUGUGUCUCUAGAAUUACUUAAUUGAUUGACACAUGGACUGCAAUUGAAACAAUUCUACACGAGAGGAGGGAAAGGAAUUGUACCAUAGUGUCAACGCACAUUGCAGUCAAUCCGGGAAACAUGACCAUGACCCACAAUUACUCGCAAAGUGUGAGAUCCUGGUUUAAUAGUAAUGAUAGACUACUCAUAUCAAUAAAAAAAUCCUUCUAUUUUGGGAUCUCAUUAACAAAGAACUCCAAAGUUAAGCAUGCUUAGCUUGGAGCGAUUUGAGGAUGGGUGACAGACUAAGAAGUCGGCAUCAGAUGCGCACGAGUGAGGGUAAAAUGCGCAGGAAAGACUAGUGUUAUUUUGUGGGGUCAGUCUAAAUCCCGCCAAACGUAUAGGCAAGGAACGGCGGCUGUAGUCGAGCGUUACAAUUGGUAUCAGAGUCAAACCUCACGGUAACACAGGCAUGCUUGGGUCAGGUGUGCGGGCAUAUGGUGCAUGGCAUGUGUGGCCCGUCGCGGCACAAGACAUGGCCCAUGUGCCAGACUGGACGCAUAGACGUAUACCAAGAGGGAAUGUUUCUGUGGGCCGAUGAGGACGUCGGUUCCAUUAACUGGGGUUGUAAGUGAGAUCCUGACUUAAUAGGAAUGACAGACUACUCGUUUAAGGAACUCUUUUUCUUCUGGAGCUCAUUCACAAAGAACUUCAAAGUUAAGCGUGCUUGACUUGAAGUAAUUUAAGGAUGGGUGACCAAUACAAAGUUGUUGCAUUCCUUGAAUCCUCGGUUUCCAUUGUGUAGCCGCUUAAAAAGGCACGGGUGCAUAAUGUUUGUUAAGUUCUGGUUGAAUUGUCAAAGAGGCCAACGAGUGACUUUCCCAGUGAGAUGAAACCACAACAAUUUUAUAUUUCUUUUAGCGGGUUCAUAAUGAUAUCUAUCUUGGGUGGGGCCUCUUCACCACCAAGGAUGCCUAUGUUGUGCUUUUCACCCAAAAUGCUGAUCCCCAAGCUCGCCCACAUCUAUGAAUUCAAUGUGCCUACGCGAAUCAAGAUCUUUGGAUGGCUCCUGCACAUGGACUGCCUCAACACACGUCAAACCAUCAAAAAGAAAACUAUCAUUAAUGACGACACCUUCCUUCUCUAAACCAACACUAAAGAAUAUCAAAAUCAUUUAUUCUUCGAAUGUUACUUCCCUCAAAGUAUUUGGCAGAAGAUGCACAACUGUGUACCAGCCCAUUGGUCAUCUCUAGGGUUUAUCAAAGAUCCCUCAAUUAUCACCCAUGCUUAAACCAUUCUUCAUGCUCGCAGUUAUUUGGAAAAUAUGAUACUCAAGCAAUGCACAAAUGAGAACCUUGGCACAAAUGUUGUAAUAGCUAUCAAACUUCGACCUAUGGACAAAUCGGCUUCAAAACCACAAGAAGGUGACCUGAUUUCCUUCUCUCCUGUAUAAGACCCAAUCAGCAUAAUUUGCUCAACAACCUGUCAAAGCAUUUUCCAAUACCUUCCAAUCUUUGCAUCUUGGGCACACCAUUGCACGUUUCCUACUAUGUGUGACAUGCGUUACUAAAGAAACUGCAAGCUAAGUUUGGCAUUUGCACUACUGUAUUUCUAGCAAAGAAACCAUCUUAUGAUGCAAAUCACACACCCCUCGCCUCGUCACCCCUCCUCUUAUAAAGUGUAACUUGAAUGCCACUUACGAUAGUACAGAGGCAAUAAAUUCCAAACAAAUAUUAUUUGAGGAGAUGAAUGCAUUCCUAUUCCUAUCACCAGCUUCUCUAACAGCACAAAAUUUGCAGAAACAAUCACUCGCGCAGGAAUGGACAAUUGGAUAGCUCUUUGCAUUUGCAUGUUCACCUUAGUCAUUAUUUAUACUUGGGGUCAAACAAACUCCAAUGAACUUUUUGGAAAAAUGGGUUUUGCUCCUCCAAAACAACUUUAUAUGUUUAGAAUCAUCUCAAAUACGCAAACAGACAUAGUUAAAGGAUGAUCAUAGUUCAGUUCUCUUCAUUCAUUUUUGGAAAUGACUUGUUUUCACCCGGCUGGUAUUUGUCGAUUCAUUAGCCACGUCGGGCCCCAUUCGAUCUCGCACGAUUGUGCGACCUUCACCUAGGCACGUACCCUAUCAUGUGCACACGUUAGCCCGCCGCUCCAAGCCUCCAACCUUAUCUUUUCAUCCUCAACCAUUUCCUCUCGAUCCUUCCUUUCCCCCAUGUCUAUCUCUCUCCCCGUCUCAACCACUCCACACGACGUAGCAAUGGUGAUCCAUGAGAGGCACCGCUACUAGAGACAAUGCUAGAAGCCUCGACUACACCAUCGAUGUGAGCUAGCCACCCAACAACAUCUAUGUUGCAAGCCCUACAGCAACAACAUGAGGUAGUGGCCACCGAUGCUGUGAGGGCCGGUCUCGGUUGUUGCCUAGCUCGGUGACUGGGGGCACCGCAAGGCCCAGACUCGGCUGCUGCAAGCCGCCAUGCAUUGCUACUGCGAGAUGCCACGCACCGCUGCUGCAAGCCGUCGGGGCGUCAGUGAUGCGAGUCGUCUUCGGUGCUGCAAGCCGUCACCCAUCUCUACUGCAAGGCCAGUGUUGUAAACUCACCUCUAGAGUUCUCAAAGGGGACAACACCUGGUGAUGCGAGGACAAGAAACGAGGUGGGUGCACAACACCUGGGUGUUGCAGGACGCCAACCCAUGCGUUGCUGCGAGCUUAUCCAGGUUUGCUGCAAGUGAGCUGGAGUUUGUUGUGGGGCCACCAUCGAUGCUAGAAUGACGGCUGAGAGAACAGUGGUGAUUUGUUGUGAGACCAUGGUGUGGUUGUUGCGAGCUUUGCCAAGCAUUGUCGCGAUCGAGCAGGAAUUUGUUGUGUUGGGGAGCCGCUGGGGUGAUGCUCUGACUAGCAGCCAUGGAUUUUGCGACGACGGGCAGCUAGUGUUGUGAGUGUGGGCGGCUUGCACUACUAUAGUGUGCCAAGUGUAGCCUACCACUGCAACAACGUUGCUAUGGCAUGGCUAGAGGUGUUGCAUGUGUUGCCACGAUUAUGUUCGGAUGGUGGCAGCAAUGCUUCUGCGGUGGUCGUCAGUGCGGCAACGAGCGGAGCUGACAUGUGCCCGCAAUAGACGCUGCUCUAGCCGACGAGGAAAGCGUGUAGGAGGAAGAUGCGGUGGGAAAUACGCAAGGCGAGAGGGAUGAUAGACGGCGUUGAGCAAACGGCUUAGAGCAUCUCCAGCUGUUUGGCCCCCCCAGGGGCUUGAGAUAGCGCCGCUUGGGGGGCAACCAACGGUAAAUCCGGCCUGGAAGGGGGGGGCUCGGGUUCCCAGCCGACCCUCCCAGUCGCCGAUUUUGGCACAAUUUAGGCCCAAUUUCGGCCCAAAUUUGGCGUGCUUCGGCACAAAUUCAACAAAAAACUCAAAUACUCCAUCACAGAAAUCAAUACAAAUUCAGCCCAAAUUCGGCGUUCAUCACAGAAAUCAAUACAGAUCGAAUAGUUCAACGAAGUAAACUCAUAAUUAAAACUCAUAGUUCAUCACACGUCGAACUAGAUGUUUCCCUUGAGCCUCCAUAGGUGCUCCACCAGAUCGUGCUGCAGUUCUUGAUGCACCUGUGGGUCUCAGAUCUCUGACGCAUAUUGAGGAAGGCAGCCCAUGAUGCCGGCACCUAGUGAUCAACUUGGGCAAGAGGACCCUGCCUGCAAUAUGAUUCAGUGUCAAACAUUGGCUCUUCCUGCUCGCUCUUAAUGAUCAUGUUGUGCAAGAUGACAUAGCAAGUCAUCACUUCCCACAUUUGAUCUUUCGACCAGGUCAGAGCGGGGUACCGGACAACGGCAAAUCGAGACUGGAGCAAACCAAAUGUCUGCUCGACAUCCUUCCUGCAGGCCUCCUGACACUUGGCAAAGUAGUUCUUACCUCCUAGCACAGGGUUGGAGAUAGUCUUCACAAAUGUGGACCAUCUCGGAUAGGAUGCCAUCUGCUAGGUAGUAUCCCUUGUUGUAGUGGCGCCCAUUGACCUCGAAAUUCACCGGAGGAGCAUGACCUUUAACAAGUUUGGCAAAGACAUUCAAGCACUACGGUACGUUGAUGUCAUUGUGCGUUCCUAGCACACCAAAGAAGGAGUGCCAAAUCCAGAGGCCCUGUGUGGCCAUUACCUCAAGUACCACACUGCAAGCUCCUUUGGCUCCUUUGUACAUCCCCUGCCAAGCAAAUGGAUAGUUUUUCCAUGCCCAAUGCAUGCAGUCAGUGCUUCCAAGCAUCCCAGAAAAUCCUCUUGCUGCAUUCUGUGUUAGGAUCUGAGCCGUGUCUUCAGCAUUGGGUGAUCGCAAGUAUUGUGGUCCAAACACUGCCACCACUGCCCUGCGGAACUUGUACAAACACUCAAUGGUGGUGGACUUGGACAUGCAUUCAUAGUUUCCAGUAUAUCAUCGGGAGCUCUGUAUGCAAGCAUCCUCAUAGCUGUCGUGCACUUCUGAAGUGAGUGGAAUCCAACUAUGCGGGUGCAAUCAUCCUUGCAAAUAAAGUAGCUGUCAAACUCCCGGAUGGCAUUCACAAUCCUGAGGAAGAGCUUUCGGCUCAUCCGAUAACGGCGCCCAAAUACUUUCUCGCCAUGUAGUUGAGUGUCGGCGUAGAGCAAGCAAUAGCUCUCCAGUCGAUGCCUCUGCUUGCACUUACGGCGGCCCGGCGCCAAGCCACCUCGUGCGGCUUUGCAUUGCUCGCGAACAGGCCGGCUAGAGCGGCGAGGAUUAUGAGGUGCGCUUCGCCCUGGGUAUCGGCCUCGACUUCCUCCUCCAGCAGCGCCGCGAACACCUCCUCGUCAUCGGAGUCAAUUGCCGAACAGGCAAAUUAAUCACCGAACACCUGGCGGGAGUGGUGGGUGCGCAGCCGCCGAUAUCCCCCGGCCUGCUUGGCCGGAGCGCUGGAAAGCUCGCCAGGAAUGGGAUGGAAGCUGCCGCGGUGAAACCCUCUCUUUCCGACGGUGAAUGGCCUUUCUAGCGGCGGAGCAGCGAUUGUGGGCAGGUGGGCGGCCUCGAGAUCGGCACAGCGACGAAAAGGGGAAGUGGCGUCCUACAACGCUCCGGAUUGAAUCUGGGCGGGGAAAGUCAUUUCUCGCCUGACAGUGGCGGCUCACGGGCCACUUUUCCUUCCGCCAGAGCCCCCACGUGCCUCCCAGUGCGCUGGGUUUGGCCUGGGAUCGCCGGGCCAAAAAAUGGGCGCAACCAACGGAAUUCANNNNNNNNNNNNNNNNNNNNNNNNNNNNNNNNNNNNNNNNNNNNNNNNNNNNNNNNNNNNNNNNNNNNNNNNNNNNNNNNNNNNNNNNNNNNNNNNNNNNNNNNNNNNNNNNNNNNNNNNNNNNNNNNNNNNNNNNNNNNNNNNNNNNNNNNNNNNNNNNNNNNNNNNNNNNNNNNNNNNNNNNNNNNNNNNNNNNNNNNNNNNNNNNNNNNNNNNNNNNNNNNNNNNNNNNNNNNNNNNNNNNNNNNNNNNNNNNNNNNNNNNNNNNNNNNNNNNNNNNNNNNNNNNNNNNNNNNNNNNNNNNNNNNNNNNNNNNNGGGGGGGUGAGUGCAUAUGCUCUUACACGAGCGGAACCAAGGGCAGAAGUGGGGGUGAUCUUUCCCUCAGUACAGCCGGUUGGAGCCUAGCCUCGUCCUCCAUUUUCUCCUUGCAAAAAAAAGUAUGUUCACGGUGAACAAAGUAGCUUAAGAUAAGCGGGUGGCCUAAUUGACGGCCACCCUUUGGGAAUUGUGACAUCCACCCUCAGCCACUGAGCGCACGCCCCACACAGAGCGGUUGUCAAAACGAGUCCUCCUCCUUAGCGCCUGUAGUGCCAAAUAAGAGCAAGUAUAAUAGGGUGAUGUAAUCAGGCUAUAAGGAUUUAAAUAUUAUAUUCUUAUUUAGUUGGAAGAGAGAGAAAGGAGCGGGCUGCAAACUAGUAGCCAGCUGCAGCACGUGCUCCAAGAAGCAUUGUGAGAGAAGUUCAUGUAGUGAUAAAGUAGUAAAAUCUUAUAGCACACUAUUAUAUGAGUUGGCUCUUAAGUUGGCUAUAAAUUACAUGGCUACUACAUAUAGCCAACAGUUAGCUCUACUAUUAACCAUGCCCUAAGGCAAACGGCGCUCACAUAGGCGCUUAUUCGGGUGGCCUGAUAAAUAGUUUCCUACCUCCGCCCGCUCGCUACUUGCCUACCUCCUUUUCGCUCCCUCCUUGCUCUUCCACUUGACGGUCGAUACGUAACUGGUCAAUUCUGGACCAUUCGAGAUUCGACCAUUGACUUAAAAAAAAGUUCAUGAAAAAAGGGAAAAUUUAAAAAACAUGACUCUUUUUGUAAAUUUGAAACAAAAAUCAUGAAAUUUGGAGGAAAAAGAAAGAUAAUGAACUUGAGAAAAUGUUCACGACUUUGAAAAAAAAAUUUGAAUUUUUUUAAGAAGUCCAAAAUUUGGACAAAAUUCAACUAUUAUGAAACAAAGUUCACGAAUUUUAAAAAGGUUCAUGUAUGUUUUUAAAAGUUCAUACCAAUUUGAAAAAAAUCAUGAGCUUUGGAAAAAGUUCACGAAUUUCUAAAAUCCAGUAGUUUUGAAAAAAAAAUCACAACUUUGAAAAUAGUCCAUGGAUUUUUAAGAAAAAGUACAUGGAUUUUGAGAAGUCAAUGAAUUUAAAAAGGUUCAAGCAUUUAAAGAAAACAAGAAGAAGAAAAAAGAAAGAAAAAGGAACCAGAAAAAAUAAAAUGAAAAAAACAGAAAAUAAAUAACCCGAAUAAGAACCGUCCGAAAAACCAAAAAAAAGAAAAAAAUCACCGGAAGCUUUCAGAAUUUUCCCAAAACCGGGAGCUUUGCGUGUGCUUCAGUUAGUGGGCUGGGCUGUUCAAAAGUACAAUUGUGCCGGUUAGUCGGCCGGGCCCGGCGGCAGGACCUUGUCCCGGUCGUGCCUUCUGUUUGGCUGGCCGCGAUGGGACUAAUGACCCCCUGGCGUCCGGCUGUCUAGCGUCUUCCCGGCGGCGGAGCCUUGUCCCAGGCUCCCAACCAUGCCUCCCCCUUGUGCUGGUUGUGGUGCGCUGUGGGGGUGGAUUCGGGCCUCCCCCGGCUCAUUCUGUCCCGUGGUGCCCGUCUGUGGUGGAGCGUCUAGCGGCGCCCAAUGUCAUCUCCCCCGGUGAUUGGCGCGGCUCUUCUUCCAGUGGUUGCGGUCUCGGCCUGCUCUGGCUUUCCGUGUCUCUAAUCCUGAUCCAGGUGCCUUUGUGAUUGUGUGGAGUGUGGCCGGGUGAAAGCCUAGCACGGCUUGCCGAUGCUGGCGGCAGUGACACCUGCGGUUGUCGUUCCCUUCUUGAAGGUGCCGCCAUGGGCUCCUCUCCGCGCCCCUACACGAGUAUCGGGUGAAACCCUAGAUCUGGUUCGCUAGAUCGAACGGCAGCAGUGACUCAAUGUUGUAUCCUUCAUGAAGGCGCUGUCUUGUUACUCGUGAUGUGUUCGGUGAUGGAUUUGAUGACUUCAGACGCUUUGCUGGUCCGGGCUGCUCCUGUUGGCGUGGGUUUCCGGGGCGCUAUGUACAGUCUCGACGGCGCUCUCUCCAUGGCUUCUCCUUCGGCCAGGUCCUGCACCCCACUUGCCGUUCCUCUAGGCGCAUAGGUGGGAGGUACGUUGAUCCGCUUCAUCCUGGAGUCUGGGUUGUGCGAGGUUGGUGCCCGGCGUUGGUCGCGACGUGGCCUAAAUACCUUUGUUUCUCUUGUCCUUGCCUUGCUGGCUGGAGUUUAAGUUAGGGAAACGUUUCCACCCGGUGCGCCGGCCGAAACGUUGGGCCGGAUGCACGCGGGCAUUACACAUGGUGGGGCCAGGCGGUGGUUUUUCCUCUCCCGAUCCCCUUAUCUCUUCAAGCUUUCACGCCACAGCACACACAGUGUUCGCUCUCCUCCACUCAUUCCCCUUCCUUCCUCCACUUUCUUUUUCCCUUCCACCUUUCCACGCCGGAGCACAAGUCAAGGACAUUCGCCGCUUUUUUUCGCUGCUGGCCAAGGCCGUCCUGAGCUGCGACCGGCAAAAUAGAGGAGUGGCGGCGCUGCAGAUUUGGAGCAGGAAGAGCGGUGCUGUGGAGACAACUGAGAUGCGAUGCGGGGACGUGGGGAGGAGUUGCAAGGUUCUGCAACCGGUGGACCUGGAAGCUCAACUGGCAGGCGCGCGACCACGCCGGCGACUCCUCGAUGUUGUAACCGGCGGAGUUGAAAGCUUCUACUAGCGUGCUAAAAAGCUACGACCGGCAACGGCGAAAGCUGCAAUCGGGCGGCCAUGCCGACCACGCCGGCGACCACCGAUGUUGCAACUGGCGGAGCUAAAAGCUUCUACCAGCGAGCUAAAAAGCUAUGGCUGGCGACAGAAAAGCUGCAUCACCAGAAGCUGCAACCGGCAGUGCACCAUGGCCGGGGAUGGCAUCCACAGGAUGCUACGCGCAGCGACGCGCGGACGCUGCAACGACCGGAAUGAGAUACUGGAACCGUCUAUUCAAAAAGCUUCCGCCGGCGAAAAGGAAAGCUACUACAGAAACAACUGCUACAACCCAGCGACGACGACGGCGACGACAGAGUGCUGCAACAGGCUAGCAAAAAGCUGGAAGUGGCGAUUGUGAUUGCUACAACCAGAGGUGUGACAUGCUGGAACCGAGUUUGCCACUGCUGAAAGAACUCUGGCACUCCAGGCCACCAUUCGUUUUUGCUACAGCCAUAGAUGUGCCGAGCUACAAUCACCGUGCGUUUCGCUGGAACCAAGGAUCAUCAGCGUUGGAACGAAAGAAGUCCAAAUAACCCCCUGGGGUUUCACAAACCGGCCACUUCACCCCCUCAUGUUUAAAACCCGGUAUCUAACCCCCUAGGCUUUCCUAAACCAUCUGAAUCGCCCCCUAAUCCUUAUUAGAGUGGUUUUACAAAUGAUUUUGGUGAUGUGGCAAUGUGCACCUCGUUCCUGACAUGCAUCCGGCCUCAUGCAUUCUCCUUCGAGCACAAGUCAACGUUGUGCCACUCGGGAAGCAUCGUGUUGAUGCAUGUCAUCAGCACGUAGCACGCUGAGUCCCAUUCUUCUCACUCGGUGAGCUUCUCAGCCGUGAGCGUCCCCUUCUCCAGCUUACUAUGCAGCUUGUACGAGGCCAGCAAUUUCUUGCACACCAGGCCUCUCCGGUCCAGCGCAUCACACGGGGUUCGUGGGAUCCUUCUGGUUGUCUGCAAUGUCAUGCUCCUGCUGCGCGGACACGGCGGCCGCGCUGGGGUGCACGCACAACCCGCCAACCGAUGCAAGUUCAGGCGACCCCUCGCCGUGCGCACCCAGUACGGCAGUGUCUCGUACUCAAGCUCUCCAAGGCGAACAGUGGUGGGAUGGUCGCGUCGUCGUCGACGGUGACGAGCAUGACAUUGGCGUCGGAGUGGCGAGGAGCUGGAGCGUCGCUAGCGAGGCGCACAUAAUUUCUCUCCGGCUAGAACGCACUGCUCCCCCGGAUACAAUACACACAUACAGACCGGCUGGAUCGAUUCGGUCUUGCACAAGCAUGCACGUACACGCAAGUACGAGCUUCCAUGUUCGAGCCGGAUUGGAGUAACCUAAUCGUGAUUAGCUCUGAUAGUGGAUGCUGCCAGCUACCGGCGGCGGCACGAGCUUGAUGAGCUAUUGUCAGCGAAAGAAGAAGAGGACGUGCCCGGCGAGAGCGUUGCCAGGGUGACUACGACACACGGGGGGCACGAUGGAAAGUAGAGAUUGCAUAUACAAGACAAAACACAGCCGGCUGCUGGCUAGCUGGUUCUGCUUCUGAGUACCUCAACAUCAUGUCGUUGUUUGCAAGAGAUCUGCCUGCCGGGAUGGAGGUACCGUGCAGACGUGGUACCUGCAACCAUGCCAUGUCACGAAAACCAUCCUCAAAAACCACUCUAAGCAGGGGUAGGGGGUGAUUUACCUGGUUUAGAAAAGCUCAGGGGGGCAAUUACCCGGUUUUAGACCUCGGGGGGUAAACUGGCGAAACCCUAGGGGGUUAUAUGGACUUCUUUCCGUUGGAACUGCCCGUUUUGCUGCUACCACAGAUGAGAAAAGUUACAAACGGAGGCUCGAGAUGCUGGAAGCGACAAAUGCUACAAGCAAGCGAGUGGUCUGCAAGGGAGCUCGUCGCCGGCGUUGUGCUGCAGGGUCGACGGCCGCGGGGCGCGACUAGCUCGCUGGAUAGGUGCGCAGGAUACAACCAUGGCUGGCUGGCGUAUGCUCACGAGGGAAUCCACCAGGGUCCAAGCAAAGCGGUGAGGGAAGGUGCAAAGGAUAAGGAACGAACGGCUACAAAUCACCCAAUCGAACGGGCCUGGUGCGACCGGCCAAAAUUUCGGCCGGCGCGCCGGCGCCUAACAGUGGCCUUUAGGAGAGCUUUACGCUGUGUUGUAUCCCUUUUUGUGUUUCCCACACCUUGUGUGUGGUGCUUCUCUUUUUUUUCUUGUUUUUUUUUGAACACAUCUUUUUGUCUUGUUUACCUAUGUAAUUUCUUUGCUACCUAUUAAUGAAUGAUACGCAAGCUUUGUAUAUUGGCGGAAAAAAAAUAUAGCAAGGACCGGUCCCUAGAGGCCACCACGAGGCUGUUGCCGUCUGUCUUGCCAAUCUGGCCACCUCUAGCGGCGAUGAGGACGGGAGACGCCGCCGGUAGCAGGGAUGCAGGCCAGGAACCCAAGCGGUGUGCGCGCCGGCGGCGGCGCGGCCCGGAGGCGAGUGUGCGAUUUUGUCCGCUGGACACGGACACCCCUAGGUAACUGAUUAACUUUCUCUUCAGCGGCAUCUCUUUACCUCCCGAUCCUCCCAUCUCCAAUCGCCAUCAGAUUUUGCAGGCUAUGAGUGCAUUACCAAUGGAAAUUGAAUUGACUGUUUGCUAUCAAUGCCAAUCGCCAAAAAAUAUUAUGCCCUCACCUUUUUUUUUCCGAUAAAGAACGUUUUUAUUAACUCAAAAUGUUGCCCUCACCUUCUUUUAAGAAAGAAAAUAAUAUCACGAAGAUAUCAAUUACACCCGACCUCUAUACCAACAAGAUGUACAAAGGCAUAAAAGUAAACACAGCCAAAAAAGAAGAAAAAAAGAAAAAAAGACCAUGCCAUUGCCGCGGUGACAAAUCACUAGCAUCAGCAGCCCUCUAACCAUCACCAAAGACAACACUCAAAAUACAAAAGAGAUUCACCAAAGACAACACUCAAAAUACAGAAGAGAUUCUUCAAAAGCAACACCUCUAAAAGGAAAACAAUGCACAAGCUGACUGAACAAAGUUUGAGCUCACCCAAAAACAAUGAUUUCAACAAGUCCAUUGCCAGAUAUAACCAAUAAAAGUCUGACCUUGUGUUUUCACCCUGGGGAUUGAGACUCGACAAGCACCAUGGAGCUUUUUUUGAGUUCUCCAUGUGAGAAACUGCAUCAGAGAAACUCCACUCUGGAGCACUUACUAUCCCAAAUUGCAUCCGAGUAGUACGAAGUUUCCCGAAAACUUUAAUCACAUAAACCAUGUUACAGUGCAUAGGUUGUUGGCAUUUGGUUUUGUCCUUGCCAAGACCUGCACUAUUCUUCAGAGAAACUCCACAGUGCAGCACACAUCAGUGAAGCUCUUAUCAAAACCACACACACACACAUACCAGGUUCAUUCAUGACAAAAGGGGUGAUCAUCCAAUUUCCAAGGCAGAGAGGAGAAGUGAGACAGACAACGAAACAUUGCAUUGAACUCUGAUGAAAGAUGAACAAUAUGGGCAGGCGUUUAUUCCACGCAACAAAUGCGGCUGGCAUGAACCAGCGAGCACUGCCCAGGACCUCACAAAUGUGCCGAGACAACAAAUUAACACACCCCACGACCAGACCAAAUGGAAACUACGGUAGACAGACAAAUCAUAACGCAGCCGACACUUCACCCUCCCGCUGAAUGCGCCUCUUCAUGCCCCAUUGCACCGCGCUAGUUGUCGGAGCUCUC
This 58831-nucleotide long non-coding RNA is filed under the name Triticum aestivum (bread wheat). Its description in RNAcentral is "long non-coding RNA (TAES_LNC015777)". Lineage: Eukaryota; Viridiplantae; Streptophyta; Magnoliopsida; Poales; Poaceae. The record is from RNAcentral.